UGCAGGCGGCGGAGGUGGACGGCACGGACGUCACGACGCUGAUCCCCUUCUUCUCCGACUUGGUGGGGAAGCUCGGGGCGCUCGAUGUCUGGAUCGCCAGGUAUGGCGCCAACGAAGUCGCCAACUGCGCUCGGGAGGUUGCCGGGACAAUCCUCCCACGGAUUCAUCUCCAGGACCCGGAGUUUCCCUUCGAGUCCCUGCUGGACGCUUGGUCCGACAGCGAGGACGAGCCCGCGCACACCCAAGCAGUGCGCGAGUUCGUCGACGAGGUCGUCGAGCGGACGCAGAUGAAGCCGGAGCCUGAUCUCCCCGCCGACCCCCCGGCCGAAGACGGCGACAACUAGUUGCCGUAGCCCCCAGCCGUGCUCGUUGCUCCCACUGUACCUUCUUUUGUUUGCUUUCCCUGCAAGUUUGGCGCUUAGCGCCGUUUGAACAAUCACCUUUUGAUUAGUCCACGUAAUCAUUCGGCACUUAGUCAAUCAAGCUUGUUAAUUUGCUCAAUUUUUGUCCCUUAUUCCCGAGGCCGCCUCGCGGGGUGGUUCCCUUAGCCUUUGCGUGUUACGCCUUGUGUUGCCGGGGACUCGCACGUCCCACCCUUGACCAGACCAGGGACCCGGGACGGACCCGUGGUGCCGACCUGGGGCCAAGGGGUAGGCGGCGAGCCACUCCACUUGCGGGGUAACUAUUCCAAGCCAUGCCCUCCCGGGACGGACCCGGGAGCCACACGGGGAGCGCACUCCCCCCGCAAGCGUCCUCCUCACACCCUGACCACACGCAGGUUCCGGAACCACACUUGGCGAAGCAGCGUUAACUCUUAGUUAAGUAAACUUUUCGACAAGUUCGUUGUUCCUGAUGCUGUCUAGCGGGGUGGCCCCUUUUAGCCUUUGCGUAUUUUGCCUUGUGUUGUGGGGGACUCGCGCGCGCCUCACCCUUGACCAGACCAGGGACCCGGGAUGGACCCGUGGUGCCGACCUGGGGCCUAGCGGUAGCGGGGAGCCACUCCACUUGCCGGGUAAUUACUCCAAGCCGUGCCCCUCCAGGACAGACCCGCGAAGCCACACAGGGGCGCGUCCUUUUUAACACUCCGGCUGCGCGCGGGAUCUGGGGCCGCACCCAGCGAGACAGUGCUCAGUUUCGUUCAGCUCUUAGCGAAUUCAGCGUUCAUGUUCAGACACUUAGCUUUUCCGUUCGGUCCAAUGCCUCGUGACGCUCGGCGGUAGAGUGCAGACGGGGCACUGCCUUGGUAGGAACCCACCUUGGGUACCUGUUCAAGGGAAAUGAUCUCUGAAGGAUGCGGCAGGAGCGCGGGGGCAGGAUCGCCGACAGCGGCAACCGCCGCAGACGAUGCUACCACCACGCUCACGCGGCAACCCUCGCCUUCACGGACGGACCCUGGCUUUCAAGGAGGAACCCUGGCCUUUAGGGAGGAACCCUGGCUUAGGAGGACUCCGCCUCGGGAGCAGCCGCAAGACGGCUAUAACGCCGUCGCCGCCAGCUGCGCCCCACCCCGAACGGCGGGCACGGGUGGCGAGGAAGUUAUAGCCUCCCAGCGACAGCCCCCGCAACUGGGGAGACCUGGUUUUUUCUGGGGAACUCGUCCCAAGGGACGUGACAGCCCUUGUUGCCCGGGAGCAAAACUGCUCGAGGGCCGCGGCAGGGAUGCGGUGAUGGGCCGGAACGGGCGACGAGCGCCGGCACCGGCGCCAUCAUAGCGUCCUCGCAACGACCCGCGCCCGAAAAACACUCUCCCAAAGGGAAUGCGGCCGGGUCUCUAUGAUAGUGCACUCGUCGGCACAAGGCACAGAGGGCAUGCACUUCCAUAGAGUCUCCGCGGCAGCCCCUGCUCCUUGCAGAGGCGUCCUAUGGAGGGGGGCGACAAGGGCACUGCGGCAAUGCACCCCGUCAGCGCCGGAUGCUGAUGGAAUGCACCACCACAGUGCCUCCGCGGCGACCCUCGCCCAGGAGCCGCCCACUUGAGGAAGCGCGGCAGGGGCACAACGGCAGUGCACCCGUCGGCGCAGGACGCUGAUGGCAUGCACUACCAUUGUGCCUCUGUGGCGUCCCUCGGGGCAGGCUCGAUGGGGUGAUGCAGCAGGGGCACGAUGGCAGCGCACCCGCCCGUGCUAGGCGCCGGCGGGAAGCACCACCUCCGCGCCUCCGUGGCACCACCCGCCUUAACGGCCCCGAACCCGGCUUCGCUCUGAGCCGUUCAAUGGUUGGGGCGCGCCUUUUAUAGGCGAGGGAGGGUGAUUUGCCACCGCGCGCGACGGACCCGCGCAGCACCCGUGGCGCCCUUCCUUCGAACGCGGCGCAGUUUCUGCCGCCACGUUUUCCAGGCAACCCUGGCACACGUGGCGGCAACCUGUCGACUCAGAAGCCUCGGAGUGCGGUGAGCCCCUUGUGUUGCGGUCCUCCCGCACCACAAGGCACCGGUAUAUGGUGCGACCCGUGGGCAGCUCACGGGCACCACAGUGUACAAGAUUCCACCCUUUCCUGCAGAUUAGACUCUUACCAGGCCUGAGAUACUGCAAAAAAUUUCGAAACUUACGAAAAUAAGAGAAAAUAAGCAACACAGACAAAUUCCUCCUGCUUCCCAGCCCCCGGGCACAAAGGGGUCGAUGCCAAACUUGGAUGUGAGCAUUUCCUUUCCCAGGCGCAGCGACUGCGCGGUGCAAGAUGCGGAGGGCCGAGCAACUGCACGCCCCGUGAUGCACGUUGCGGGAAGCCCGCCAACGGCAUGUCCCGUGCCGGAACGAUCCGGCAACGGGUUUACGUUUCGAGGCCACAACAGCCCCCUGCUCACAACCAAGUAUGGAAAGACACCUUUGUGCACUUAAAGCAGGAGACAGAAGAGGGAAAAAAACACGCGAAUAAACAAGGCAAAUCCAAAGCUCAGGGGCGAAACACUUAUCUUUAUUCAUGAUUAACUAGCGGUUUACACGCGGGGGCUGCCCGGUUACACUAGUUCGAGAGGUAUGCAUCGAGGCAUCACCUGAGGGUCGGGCUCCGCCGCUUCACGGGUAGAACUUGCGCAAGUGCUCAAUAUUCCAGCUAUUGGGCACCGGCAAGCCGUCUUCGGUUUCCAGGCGGACAGCCCCCGGCCUAGUCACCUGCACUACCCGGAAGGGCCCCUCCCAUUUCGGAGCCAACUUGUCGAUGGCCACGAACAAAUAUUCGUAACCGCCAACCGCCCUUGGUAGCUUGCCGACGAUGUCCAGCCCCCAGACCGCGGACGGCCAUGAGGACGGGAUGACAUGCAGGGCCUGCGCCGGUUAGUUGCUCUUCUUUGAGUGGAAUUGGCAUGCCUCGCACGUCUUCACAAGUCACUCCGCAUCGGCCAGGGCCGUGGGCCAGUAGAAGCCAUGCCGAAACGCCUUGCCGGCUAGAGCCCGGGAGGCCACAUGGUGUGAACCUGUGCCUCGAUGUAUGUCUUCCAACAGUGCGCACCCUUUUUCCUGCGGCACACAGAUGAGUUUGACACCGUUCGCACGCCUGCGGUAGAUGUUACCAUCUACCACAGUGUACAUCUUGGCUUGCCGCGCUACACGCUCCGCAGCGACGUCAUCUUCCGGGAUUGCCUCCCCUUUCAAAUAGCGGGCGAUUUCUUCCGCCCAGGGGGAAUCUCCCUGCCAACGCAUGCUGCCAUAUCAGCGGCAUGGACCCCCACUGCUGCAGGGGUUCCUUCGGUGGCCGGAGAGGCGUCCCCGGCAGCCGGCUGGGGGGCGACUGAAGGAGCCACUUGCUUCUGACAGAACACCCCCGCCGGAGGCUUCCGGCGCUCUGCUGCCAUCUUGGCCAGCUCGUCAGCAGCGAAGUUAUCCUUCCGCUUGACAUUCUCGAAGCGCAAACCUUUGAACUUUCGUUCUAGUUUGCGGACCUCCUCCACGUACGACGCCAUUUGAGGGCAGUCGUAGUCCUUGUUCACCUGGUUGAUCACGAGCUGGGAAUCGCCGCGAACAACCAAGCGCUUAAUGUCCAGGGCGACCGCUGCCUGCAACCCGACAAGCAGGCCCUCGUAUUCCGCCGUGUUGUUGGUGCAGUUAGCGAAGCCGAGUUGAACAGCGAACCUCAACUGGUCCCCUGUUGGUGACUCGAUGACGACCCCAGCGCCUGCUCCCUGAAGACUGAACGCACCGUCGAAGUAGAGGACCCAGUGGUCCUCGUCCAGCUUGCUAGGCAGGCUGGUCUCCGGCUCACUUUCUUCUACGCCCGUGGACGUCCAUUCCACGACGAAGUCCGCCAGGGCCGUGCUCUUAAUGCUUUUGGAGUUGGCGAAGUGGAGGUCGAACUCUGAUAACUCCAUCCUCUAUUCGGCCACCCUCCCGGUGGCUUCACGGUUGGUGAGGGCUCGCUCAAGGCAGAACCCGGACACCACCAUGACGCGGUGCGCCUGGAAGUAGUGGCGCAGCUUCGGGACGCAAGGAGAAUCCCCAGAAGGAGCUUUUGUACUUGCGGGUACCUUGUCCGCGCGUCGCGUAGCACCGUACUAACGAAAUACACCGGGUGCUGCACCAACCGCUUCCCCGAUGCCGAGGUUGCCGGCUCGGGGGUGGUCCCCGGGUCUGAGGCGGUUGCUGGGGCCCGCCCAGCCCCCUGCCCCGCAGCCCCAGUCCCCGGGACGUCUUCCUCCCUCUCCGCAAUCAGCACCGAGCUGACCACCUGGUCAGUCGCCACUAAGUAGAGUAGCAGCGGCUCGCCCAGCUUGGGGGCGACGAGGAUGGGCGGCGACCUUAGGUACUGCUUGAGUUCCUAGAACGCUGCCUCGGCCUCGGGAGUCCAGUCGACUGGACCAUUCUUCUUCAUUACCCGGAAGAAAGGCAAGGCACGCUCGCCCAGCCUGGAGAUGAAACGUCCCAGCGCGGCAACACAGCCGUUGAGGCGCUGGACAUCUUUCACCUUGCGGGGGGCCUCCAUCUUCUCGAUGGCUUCUAUUUUGGUCGGCUUGGCCUGUAUCCCCCGGUGUGAAACCAAGAAACCCAGAAGCUGCCCGGAGUUGACACCGAAGGUGCACUUAUCAGGGUUCAGCUUGAGCUUGAUCCUGCGGAGGUUGUCGAACGUCUCCCGCAGGUCAUCAACCAGCGAGUCCCCACGCUUCAAUUUGAUGACGAUGUCGUCCAUGUAGGCCUCCGCGUUGCGGCCUAGCUGGGGCCCCAAACAUUCGCGCAGGGCGCGCUGGAAUGUGGAGCCCGCAUUCUUCAACCCAAAAGGCAUGCAUGUAUAGCAAUAGCAGCCAACCGGGGUGAUAAACGCUGUCUUUUCCUCGUCCUCGACCGCCAUCUUGAUUUGAUGGUAGCCAGAGAAAGCAUCCAGAAAACUCAGCAAGUCACAACCAGCGGUAGAAUCAACUAUCUGGUCGAUACGGGGUACAAGGAAGGGAUCCUUGGGGCAUGCACGAUUAAGAUCAGUAAAAUCUAUGCACAUGCGAAGCUUAUUCCCUGCUUUAGGCACUACUACAGGGUUAGCCAGCCAAGUGGGGUACAAAACUUCCCUGAUUGCCCCGGCAGCCCUGAGCUUGCCCACCUCUUACUUGAUGAAAUCUUUUCGCUCUUGUGCUUGCCGCCGGAUCUUUUGCUUGACGGGGUGCGCAUCCGGGCGCACCGCGAGCCGAUGCUCAAUCACCUCCCUGGGGACUCCGGGAAGGUCCGACUAUUGCCAGGCGAACACGUCGGCAUUAUCCCGGAGGAAGGUGAUGAGGGCGCUUUCGUAUUCAGCGGCCAGGUUCGCACCAACAGUAACGGUGCGCUCCUUGUCGCCGGCUUGGAGAGGCAGCUUCUUCACUUUGGCGGCCUCCUCCCGGAGCCCCUGCCCCUUGCCGGGGUGCGAGCCCGGGCCUGCGCCUCCCCCAACAAGCCCUUGCGGGGUAGCGCGAGCCUUCUUCGUUGCCGGGGCAUCGCCCGGCAAGCCGUCGUCCUCGAAAUCAUCCUCGCCACCGGCGUCAGCUGCAGCAGCGGCCCGGACGACCUCGCCAACGCACCAAGCCGCGUCUUUGAGGUCGCACCUGAUGGAGAGGACUCCAUAGACGGACGGCAUCUUCAUCAUGCCAUAGGCGCAAUGCGUAGCCGCCAUAAACUUUUCCACCAGCCUGGCGGACAGGAGGUUAAACCCCGCUCCGUUAUCAACCAGCACCUUGGUCACCGUCAUAUUGCUAAUGAUCGGCGAGAUGACGAAGGGUAUUACCCCGGAACCCAACUGUCGCGCUGGGUGAUCCGUCGGCGUUGAAGGUGCUCGGCACGUGCGACCACCUCAGCGGCUGUUGCGGCUCCGCAUCCGGCAACAGUGCGCACACGUCGCGGGUGAGGCGCUUCACCGCAGCGUGGGACGGGAGAGCGUAAGCUCCCCCAUGGAUGCAGGCGACGCCACGAGGCUCUUGGAAGCCCGGUUCGUCGCCGCCGGUAUAGUCGGACUCGCGCUGCUCCUCAGCACACGCCCUGUCGUGUCCCCGAGGAGGACGUUCCCGCCCAGCGCGGGGUUGGCCGCGCCCCCUUUGGGGUUCACCCCUGCCGGCACCACCGCCGGCCGGCCUCGGACCCGCUCUGGGGUCGUUCGGGCAAUCUCGGGAGAGAUGCCCGAUGUCGCCACAACUGAAGCAGGCGCCGGCGGCGCGGCGCUCCUCGUGGCGCUGCUCCCGCCGCUGCUUGAUCCCCUGCAUAACGCGGCAAUUCUGCGCGUCGUGGGUGGAGUUGUUGUGGAUGGGGCAGCGGGGGCGCGUCGCCCUGCUUCCCGCCAGACUCUCCACCCGGCGAGGCCUUCUUCGCGGGCCUCGCGGUAGGAGCCCCCGAGUUCGCAGCGAGGACUUGCUUCCCGCUGCGCUUGCGGGAACCCUUCUUCUGCGAGCCCUCGCCAGGGCUCGCGGCAGCCCUGGGCUGCCAGCUCGGGCGCUAGGCGCCCUUCCUCGGCCAUGGCGCAUUUGUGCGCCAAGGCGUAUAAGUCCUGCGUCGUCCGGAUCUGAUGCGUGCUCAGCUUCUCGCGCAUCUUGGGAUCGCAGACGUUGAUGGCGAAGGUGUUGAUAAUGGCGGCCGCCUCCGCCUCCGGGAUGGAAUAGGAGAGGUUGGAGAAGCGGUUGACGAAGGCCCGCAGCGUCUCUCCCGGUUUUUGCACGAUAGUGUGCAGCUCCGCCAUGGUUCACGGGCGCUUAAAACCGCCCUGGAACGUGCUCACGAACUGCUCGCGCAGGUCCGCCCAAGUGGCGACGGACCCGGCGGGCAGGUUGAGCAACCAGGUUCGCGCUGAUCCUUUGAGGACCAUCGGGAACCAGUUCGCCCUAACCUUGUCGUCGGCGCCGAUCGCAUGCAUGCCCAACGUGUAGGUCAGGAGAAAAUCUUUGGGAUUAGCGGUCCCGUCGUACGCACCGAGCGCAGGCGCUCGGAACAUACGGGGCCACGUCACCCGCCGCAGCUCGCGCGUGAACGCGGUGCAGCCGUCCUCGGGGCCCAUGGGAGCGUCUUCCUACUCCUGUGGGUGCUGGCGCUCCAAGCGCUGGCGCAGAUCCUCCUGCUGGCGGGCAUUCAAGAUGCCACACGCAUCGCCCCCCGGAACGGUGGGCGAUGAGUUCGAGGACCCCUCCGGGCCCCCGUCUCCUUGGCCUCGCUAAGGAGGGGGAGGGUUCUCCCCCUGUCGUGAGGCGGGUGGCGCGUCUCUGCGCUUCGGGUUCUGCCCGUGGCCGGAGCCUACCGGGGCGCCCUCGCCUUGCGGCUGCUGGGUGGCCAGGGCGAGAAGCGCUUCCAACUCAUCGCCCCACGUCUCGUGCGCCGGCGUGCCCUGCUGCGGCUCGUACCGCACCAUGACGCGCGAAGCUAUGAUGGCUUCAGCCGGGGUCCAGACGGAGGGCAGCCGGUUUCCUGAACGGCUGCUUCCCGCCCUGGCCCCGGACGACUCCGGGUGUGAACCCCCAGGGGUUGCCCGGGACGCGGCGUGCUCCUGGUGCCGCUGCCGCGGGGCGUCCUCAGGCCGUGACUCAACCCGUUGGCUGGCCCGGGCGACGCCGUGCGUGCUCGCCCGACUGCCCCUGGCACUGGGGGCAGCCAGUCCCCUCGGCCGAUUGUCGGUCGAUGGCCGAGGAGGCGGCGGAGGCAGCUGCGUUUGCUGCACCCUCGAGGGCUCGGGGUUCUCCUGAGCCCCCGACUCAGGUCGCACGUCGUGCGACCACGUGUGUGCCGCUGGGGCCUCACGCGGGUCUAUGCGCGAGUCACCAGCCCGCUUGGGGGGCAUGGUGACUAGACUCGUCGGUGAAGAAGAGCGAAGCCGACGCCGAUGGAAACUCUGCUGCCGGCGAUCUCCGGCGUUGUCCACUCCCGCGCCCCCUACCAGGCGCGCCCGAUGUCGUCGCUCGGUGCUCCGACACCGGGGGCGUGCGGCCACGUCCCCCUUUUAGGUUCGGCGGAGACCCGGUGAUUGCCGGCACGGCCGAUGAGGCCCUACGGGGCCGGCGAGACGAAGUGCUAGGGGUACGCGCUAGUCCAAGAACAGAUGCACGCACGUUUUUUACCCAGGUUUGGGCCACCCGGAGGUGUAAAACCCUACGUCCUGCCUGUCUGAGCUGAUAUUGAUUACGGAUCAAAUGUUUACAAGUUGCCAGGCAAGCUCUCGGGCUUUCUCUCAGUGGCUAGGUACUCCUCACCGCUCUCUGCUGGCUGCCUACUGCAGCCACUAAGCGUCUGUCGAGCGAGCUUCGUCUGAACCACUAACUGACUAACCCCUUUGACCGUCGGCAUGGGUCCUCCUUUUAUACAUAAGGGGAUGCCACAUGUGCCACAGUGCAUGAGCUACAAGUGUCCAACGGGGAGGCAUGCAACUCCCCCAGGUGAGCUGGUGGCGUGCAUGGGUGCCACCUCCGCUGCUAGGGGCCUAAGACCCUAGGGUAAGAUUAGACAACCACUGUUCCUUGGAUCGGACGGGUAACUACCCGUCGGUCGGCUCGUUUACUGAGCCGUGCGCCUUAUUCCUUGCCUUGGUGGGACCGCGCGUCCCGCGCCCGCAUGGCGCUGUCCACUGGGCCCCACGCCCGAGGCGGGGGCACGCGCCCGGAAACCCUCAGUCCCAGCAAGUCGACCCCGGGAAGCACCCGGGCCCAACGCACCCGGGAACCCCCUCCCGGGAAGCGGCUUCCCGGGAGGUGCCCAGGCGGGAAUAUUCCCCGAAGCCCCGCUAGCCCCUUUCGGGCUGGUAGCUUGCCGGGGAGCUCAUAGACGCUCUCCGGGAUGAGACCUUCCCGGGAACCCAGGAACGGGGCCCGCGCGUCGCGCAGGAGUGGUACCCCGGGUGCCACUGGUGCGACAAUCACCCUUUUUGUGAUCGGACAAUCACGCCUCAUGUGUCCUCGGCCUCCACAAGUAAAACACUCGAUGGAAGAGGUGGAGUGUGUACUAGGUGCAGCUUUGGACACUCCUGAUUUUGGCGCCUCACUAUGAUAAACCUGGUUGGAGCGUGAAGAGGAUGUCGUCUUCGCACUAGAACCAGCAGACUCGGUCGGAGAACAACGCCAUGAAUUUGCAGGAGCUACAGCUUGACGUCGCUUGAAUUGUUGCUCCGCACACUCAGCUUGGUGCACAAGAUCCUGAAUAUCAUAAUAGCUAACCAUCUCCACAUGAUCUUGCACCUCAAUAUUCAAGCCAUUAAAGAAUGGAGACAUUGUGGCCUCCGGAUCCUCUCGUGUUCCUGUAUGUAUCAUCAGCAACUCCAUCUCUUUAUAGUACUCAUCCACAGAUUUUGUGCCUUGAGUGAGCUGCUGCAAUUUAUUGUACAUAUCUCUCUUGUAAUGCUCAGGAACAAAGCGAUGUCGCAUGAGGUCUUUCAUACCUCUCCACGAUGUUGGGCGAGUACGCAUACCAAGAAUUUGAUUCCACCAAAUGAGCACAUAACCGGUGAAUUCAACUGCAGCAAAUUGAAGUCUCCGCUCCUCGCUGUAAUGAUAGGAUGCAAAAAUCUGAUCCAUACGCAUCUCCCACUCCAAAUAAUCUUCCGGUCCACGAUCACUGAGAACGGAGGUAUGGACAAUUUGAUACGCCCAAAACCACCAUCAUUAUGUGGAACGCGAACAGCAUGACCAACCUGAUCACGACCAUGUGGUUGUCCAUGAAGAGCGCCUGCAGGACGAGCAACAAAUGGAUGAUGUUCGGGUGCAUCAUAGUCAAGCUCUCCAUCAGCAGCGUAGCCCACUUACUGACGAUUUUGCUGAUCAGCAGGUCGGUGACGAACCACGUCAUCAGGUUGUGCACGGGCAGGAGCAUCGCCCAAUGCAUCUAUCCGGGUAUCUAACUGCACAAUCUGUUCUGUCAACGCGGCAUGACUCCGACGGAUAAAAUUGCAAGUGCUAUCAAAACCAGCCCGGACAUUGGGAGCCAAAUCUUCUGCAAAAACAGGCGGUGCGAGUUCCUAGGACUCAUCGGCAGCAGCCACAGAAUUUUCCCCAGUCUUCGACAUCACCAUCACGUCAAACAAAAAGUUGGCAGGCAUAGAGAACCUCGCGCACACCAAGGAAGGACGGCAGGAGAGUCGUGCGCGUACCGGCCGAGAGAGGACGGUAGAGGAUCUCCAAGGGUAGAUCGGUUAUAAAGAUGCAGCGAUGGAAAACUCGCACGAAGGUGAAUCAGACGAGGACUCCCAGGCAGAAUCGGACGAGUACUCCCAGGCGGAAUCGGACGCAAACUCCUUGGCGGAAUCGGACGAGGACUCCCAGUAAAUAAUUCUCAGCAGAGAAUCGACAUGAGAAACCCGACGAAUCUGAUACCAAGAUAAUAAGGAUCAACGUGAUCCAAAAGGGUUUAGGCCCAAUCUUUCACGGCGAUCGAACUAGCAAGUAAAACAGCAACCCAUGGAAAUCAAUCUGAAGUAAUCCAGAUCAAAUCCCAUCAAUUCCUCACGUUGGAACAGAUUAGAAUCAACUCCACUGCAGGGCAUAACAUCAGAUCUUCAAGAUCAACAAGUAAACACGACGAUAUGCGCCCCCAAACAUUGGGACUUUUCUGGUCUAUUCUUAAUCUCGAAAAUUCAACUCUCUUACAACGACGGCUGCCAAGAACCCUUUAUAGGACGACUCUAACGCAACUUGGGUGGGACAGGCCCCACGCCACACAACUAAGGCCCAUAGGCUGAAGUAAAAGUGGUUUUGAACAGGCCCAAAAACAAUUAAACGAAAAUAAAGAAAACACUGCAGACUUAAAUAAAUCUCAAACUCUAAAACGAAGUAAACUUCAAAAGUGGUGGUGUUCUGAAAUUGGGCUUCACCUCAUCUUUGUGAUGAACUUGAACGCAAAAAGAUCUAAACCUCGGAAUAUAUGGAGUUGGUGAAAUAGCAGGAGUAAUAGAUAUCCUCCCCUCAUCAAAACCGGUUUUUAUUUAAGCACCGGUGCCUUUGUACAGGACAGGUGCAGUGUGUAAAAUUCCUACUUUCAUUAAAAAAAAUUGUACAUAUUCCUACAUGCAUGCAGUGUGUCAACUAUGGAGGGUCAAUAAAAGAACGGUUUUUUCCUUUAAGGCCAUCUUUCAUUCAUAGGAAAUGUGGGGGGAAAGUGUACGGAUAGAAAAUUUUCCUUUGGUGGCACUAUUCACUCCUUUGAUUCAAAGGAAUUGGGUAAAGUAAAAGUGGAGGAAAAAAUCCUUUGAUCUUUGUUUCAAAGGAAAAAAAUGUAGGAAUUUAACAAUCCACGUAGACCUUUUUUUGAGUUUCCAUGCACAUAAAACGAGACGAGAGUGUUCAUUUGUAUAAUAACAUUCUAAUUAUACUAACGGAAUCUAGGUAGCAGUUGGCUGAGAAACCAUUACCAUUUUUCUCAGUCGAUGGAAACGUGUAGCAGAUAAAACAACAUCCAACUAAAUGUAGACUGCGUCAGCUAGCUUGUUUCGGUGGUUUGUGAAUUGUGAUUAGAAGCCUUUCCUUCUUGCUUGCAGAUAAAACAACAUCCAACUAAAUGGCUAGGUAGCAGUUGGGUCGGACGUUGGAAUCAAUUUUUCUAUUUUUUUUGUUCCUUAUUCUUCUUUUUAAAUUUUUGUUUCUUAUUUAUACCUUGGUUUAUUUUUUAUUGUUUUUCCUUGUUUUCAUUUUCUUUUUGCUUUUUUCAUAUGCAACUCAUUAACAAUGCACAUGUAUGUUUGCCUCUUUGUAUUUCGUCUAUUUAGUUUAUUCGGCUGUGUUUAUCACAAAUGGUUGAUGCGUGUUUGUCUAAGCCCCUAUUUUUAUUAUGAACUGCACACUCCGAGUUUCACAGUACCUAGACAUAUUUUAGUAUAUAAAUAAGUUCAUAUUUAGACAAAGUUGAGUCAUUUAAUAUGGGACGGAGAGAGUAUGUGUUAUUCUAACGUAUAAUAGCAACACGAGCUAAUUUGCACAAUAAUUUUUUUUCUUGCGUUAUGUUUUUUUAAUCACUCGCAUAUUCUGAAGACCAUAAUUGCAUAGUAGGGUCAAUUGUCUCAGAAAUUAUAUGUAUUCAGUCGACGCCCUGGUCCAUUUGAUCUACUCGAGAUCCGUGCGAGUUGUGAGGUGUUUGUUUUUGUUUUUAAAGGGUGGCGGGCUCUUCAAUCUUGGAAUUCCUUCUCCUGUGGCCUUUCAAAGGGAACCACACACUGGACCUUGGGCCUAUGCCUGAAUCGAUUGCGAUUGCAGCCUCAUUCCUUUGGUGGGAUCGGCGCAACUUUGUGCACGAACAAAAGCUACAGAAACCAGAAGCUUCGGCUAUGAGUAUCAAAUUUCUUAUUUCAAACUUCACGAAAGCUUGUUCGCCAAAGGCCUCUCCUAAACGUAAUGGCUGGUCUAAACCUCCAGAGGGGAUGGUGAAGCUCAACGUGGAUGCGGCUUCCAAUCCGGAUGAUUUAUCGAGCGUUGUGGCUGCUGUUAUUCGGGACGAGGCCGGUCACUUUGUUGCUGGUGCAAAUGAGAGGAUUAAUUAGUGUGCCGAUGCUCAUAUUGCCGAGACCCACUCAAGUUUGCCUUGAAUCUGGCCCUCUCGAUUGGCUGCUUUAGAGUCUUGGUGAAUGGCGAUAAUCUCCAAGUGAUUGAGACUAUGGUUGACGGCGUCCCCUCAUCAACUCUUGUAGCAUGUGUCCGACGAGUUCGUAAUAAUCCGCUUUGAACAUUGCGCUCAAGAGGCGAACUGUGUGGCCCAUGAACUGGCUAAGGUAGCUAGAUUUUCAGACCAGGGGAUUUGGCUCGAUGACCCUCCUCCCUGUAUGUUCCCUUUCUGGUCUCUGAUGUAACUCUCCUCAAUGAUCAAUAAAGUGCUUGCUUAGUUUCAAAAAAAAAAGUUGGGUUUUGUCUAGAUCCAUGGCGGGGUCCUAGGUUUUUUUUUUGUUCGGAGGCCCGUUUUAGGGGGAUGCCUAUGUUUCUUCCUUUUAGAAAUGCGCAAUGGAUAGUUUUAGCUUAAGAAAAUUGCAUAUAAAUUUUACGUGCAACUUUAAAAUUGCCCAUUAAAUUUCAGUGCAACUUUUGAAAUUUCACGUGCAAGUUUUAAAAUUGCAGAUCAAAUUUCAGUGCAAGUUUUAACAUUUCACGUGCAAGUUUUAAAUUGCAGAUAAAAAUUCACAUGCAAUUUUUAAAAUUUUGAUCAUUAUUCUUUUUGUUUGUUCUUUUCCUUUCUCCUUUUUCACUUUAAAGAAAUUGUGGUUUGCCUUGGAUUUGGUUGUGCUGUGUUGUGCCGUGCAUGUGUUAUGCUUUGUCCCAAGGGGUCAUUUUUCCGGCCGAAGCAUUUGUCUUUGUAAACAGAAGGACCAAAGCUCAAAGUCCCAAUUUUACAGUGAUUAUCUCGCGGCAUCUGCAUGCCAAGGACAGUCUUCCUAGCUGGAGUAAGAAACACACCUAUCUGCUAUUUGUAACAAAAUGGAGCAGCUUAGGGCCGAUCGACUGAGAAAUUAGAAUCUCAACCGACUGACCCGCAGUCAGACCCUUAUACUAAUCCAUAUGGUUUGAUUUUAAUUUGACUGUGUUUAGUAGAAUUCUUGUGUUUUUCUUAUUCCUGGAAUCAAACAGCCAUGUUUACAAAAUUCCUUUGUUUUUGAAUCGUCUGUUUUACACAUGCAUUCCUAUCAUAUUCCUGUGCUUUUCCUAUUUCUGCAUUUUCAAAGUCCUAUGAAUCAAAUGGGCCCUAAGAUUCUGAACGAAUGACGGAAAUAGAAGAGUGCAAUGGCAUCCAAAGAAUAAUCCAACGGCUCUCAUACAUUAACCAAGGUUUAUGCAUAUUUCUUAAAAAAUCAGACAACUAAAAAAUGACCACACCCAUAAAAGAAAUGGAAAAAGGCAAAACAAGAAUUGAAGGCUGGAGUAUCAAUCACAGUCAAACCUCUGGACUGAAUUUUCUAGGAUACUACAGAAUGCAGAGAAAACAAGUCCUCCAAAUCUAUAACUUUUUGAUGUUGUUGUAAAGCGCAUGCCUAUAGUGGUCGGAGAUCAACCCUAAAUGUGCAAGCAAAAUAAGCAUUUUUUAAUAGUUAAAGGCAAAAAUGGUCCUUAAGCAAUGGACCAUCAUAUAAGAACAGAGGAAAGGCGAUGAUCAGAUAGGCAGGCUCACCUGGACCACCCUCACGUCUAGUAUACCAUAUGGUCCUGCCGCCUAGCACAAGAAUUUGCAACACUGCCUGUUUGGCACAUCCAGCCUACGGAGGAUGUACAUCCAUCUCCAGCCUGCCUACACCUCCCUAUGUUCCAGUCCACGACAAGAAAUAACCAGCCAAACCGGCAAUUACAUGUAUCUAAACAUUUUUAAACAUAAAUACAUUCAUAUUUUAGCAAAUUUGAGAUGAAUAAUAUUCGUCCAAAAAAAAGAGGGGGGUUCUCGGAGGAACUGGGAGUAGCUUUAAAUAGUCCAUUUUAACUUUCCUGCCCAGAAAAAGAAAGGCAGGCUACUAGGAUGGCUAGGUGGAGUAGAAAAAGACAGCAGAGGACAUGUCAUGAAUCUCGUCUGGCCUAUCCCCAGUACAUGCACCAGUCCCAAAACAACAUCCGCCACACCAACCAUGCAUGGCGACAUCCAACAUCACAGUAGAGCCAGAGGGCGCCACCCUACUGGACAAGAUAUGAAAAGCUGAAAGCGACAAGGCACGGUAUGGGGCAUCAGAAACUAGAGGUGAGCAGGUGGCAGAGAUCAUCAGCAUACGGUGACCACUGGCAAGCUCCCUACGCGAAACCCAAGCUUAGUCAGUGAUGAGCAGUGGAUGCAACCAGAAAUAGCUGCUGGAUAGCUUAAAGGGUGCAGCUUGCAUUGCUUGGCUCAGUGCACAGGUGCCACAGAGGGCUUGCUCAAUGUUUAGAUUAAGAGCACUGCUAUGCGCUACGACCACUGUUUUGUAAGAUAACGACGAUACGACCAUUAAGGGCUUCUUCCUCUCUCAGAAAAGAAAGAAAGAACGAAUUAAGGGCCUCUUUGAUCUGGAAGAAGAGUGAAUGAAAAACAUAAAAAAUAUAAAAUUUUACUUUUAUUGGCACUAUCCAUCCAUUUUAUUUAAAGGAAAGCACACGCAUGAAUUUUACAAUCCACAUGGACCCUUUUUUAUAUUCUUUGAAUAGAAAAACAAGACAACAGUUUUUAAUGAUGUAAUACAAUUAUAACUUUAUUUUUGCAUUUGGUUUCACUUAAUUUGACUAUUUUAUUAAGAUUCCUAUGUUUUUCCUAUUCCUGCGAAUCAAAAGACCAAAUCUACAAAAUGUCCGUGUUUUCAAUCCUGGCUUUUGCACAUGUAAUAAGUUCCCACCCUAUUCAUUUGUUUUUCUUAUUCCUACGUUUUCAAAAUCCUGCGAAUCAAAAGACCAAAUCUACACAAUGUCCUUGUUUUCAAUCCUCGCUUUUGCACAUGUAAUAAGUUCCUAUCCUAUUCAUUUGUUUUUCUUGUUCCUAUGUUUUCAAAAUCCUUCGAAUCAAAGAGCUGUGACACUUGAAUAGUAGGGCCAAUCACCCAGCCAAGAGUCUCAAUUGAUUUUAUUUCAGUUGGGGUUACAUGGGAUUUUACCUGGUAAUCCGCUCAUGAUUCACGGCGUCAAAAUGAAAAUAAAGAAUCAUAAGCAUGAUAAGUUAUGAUCAUAGCCAGGUAGAAUCCGGACUUCCGGAGAGGGAGAGAGGUCAUAAGGAGCCUCCCUCGCACACUCUACAAACAAAUGGCGCUGAUAAGCUGGUUUACUAACAAGCCGUAGAGCCGCCAUCUGUAGCUGAAGGGAUGUCUGUCAGGCCGUCGGAGGAAAGUACAGCCGGUGGCCGGCGAAUGGAUGGGGUUGGGUGGCGGUAGAGAAUCCUGAUGAUGCUGCAGUAGCGAGCAAUGGCACAGGGGAUCGGGGACCCUGCAUUUGCCAUGACCAAGCGGGGAAGGACUGGGUACCCAAGUCAGAUCUUUUCUCCACAGGUACUUCCUGCAGAUGUCACAACACAAGCAUAAGUGUUGUCACAGUAAUUAUUCAACCCCCAACAUAUCCUGCUAACAAUCUCUACUACGCUAAGCGAUCAGGACAGAGCUUUCACCGCAUCACAAAGAUACAAAUUAUGCAAAACUGAGCAUGAAAUAGGCGGUUCAUGCUAGUUGAUCAUUUAUGAACAUGUACAGCAUCUUCAAAACUAAAGCAGCAGGAUGCAGCAAGAAAGUACUAAGAUACAUCAAAUGCAAUGUCAUCAACUGUACAGCUGUAGUUCAUAGAGAGUUGCCAGCUGGCAGAUUCAUUCCAUUGAAAUAUCAAGGCAGCUCACAAGGAAAAUAGUGAACGUUUAAAAAAAAGGCAAAUAGUAUCUAGUACUCUUCAGCUACACAUGUUUCUUAAAUGCAAAAAUGUAUCUUACCACUUUAUCAGAAGAAAUGCAGCUAGAAAAAAAUUCAACAGAAACACGUGAAAAGAAUACAAGCAUAACAGUCUAUGUUGCAAAAGGAAAAACUAAUUAGGAAACAUAGACAGUUAAGAAAAGUUCUACAUACACUUCCGGACAUGCAAAUGUUUGCAUGGAAAUACUUAACAUGAUGUGCUGAAUUAUAGCAAAAAUUACAACAUAUACUAUCCGCAUUCUGAGAAACAAAGGACUCCUAUAACAACACAUAAUGAGGGGAUUAGAAGUACCUUGACAUUAACAACGAUGCCCAGACAAGGAGAUGCAUACAAAUGUUGAUUCUGGGGUUGAAUUGAUGCUUCGGAGUGUAUCGGCCACUGAGGAUUAACUGGCUACAAAAGAAAAUCAGAAGAUGCAAGAUUCAGUGAAUUCUUUUGCAUCCUUUAUACCUCAGAUCACACUAGGAAAUCAAAGUCACUGUGUUUCAUGGCUUUGGAAUUAUUAUGCGUUUUGCUUUGUGCAAGUAGAUAUAGCCCAAAAAUAAUUGAGGUCAUCUCUUGAGAUGGUAGGUGUUUGAUAACCAAUGUUUCACAGUUUUAGUGAGCAGGACAACAGAGAAAACAAAGGUGACCGUUGUUUGUUUGCACAAGAUAUCCACAUUAAGUUUACUCUUUACUGUUAAGUAGUGUGGAGUCGCAGACCAGCAAAGUAGUCCAAAUGUGCAGAGAAUGACUCCCACAUAACUUCACUAAUUCUGUUAGAACUUAGAAGUUUACAUUUUGCAAUUAAUGACGAAAUAAAGAAAGUUGGUGGAAUGAAUCUAAAAAUAUAAUGAGGUGAAAUUGUAUACCUGUUGCAUAUGCCUAAUAUUGUAAUAUAUUUACCUGAGAAACAAAGGGCCUUGUAACUUGAGGAGAAUCACAACUCAACUCAAAGCCAGUCAGGAUGUCAUCACCUUUUAAGUCAUGUACUUUAGGCUGUGAAAUCCUCAAGUUUAAAUCAAUGAUGUCUUCAUCAACCACUGCUGAGAUAUGUUCCACUACGAUAUGGUCAGGUAUUGGUUUUCUGGUAUAAAAUUAUGAUGUGGACUGCUCUAGUGAAUAGACUUAAUAUAGAGAGAGCUCAAAUAGUACCCUCAUUCUCAGUCUCAGGUAGAACAUCUCUAUCAUAGGAAGUGGAGUCAAAAUUAGUAACAGCUUCCCUUCCAUUGAAGCGAACAGCUGCCCUGUCAUAUGCUCUACAAAAUUGACAAAUGAAAGUGAGAGACUGUUCAAGUUCAUGACGAAUAGAAACAUAUCAAUCAGUAUAGUACCUGGCUGCUUCAAUUUCACUAUCAAACAACCCAAGAUAGAUGUACCUGUGCAAAUGAUCACCUCUGAGUGGGAUAUUUACAGAGUUAUACUUGUGCUACUAUUAGUUUAGAACAAGAUCUUAGCAGAUUCUAUGCUGGCCAAUAGCUGAAGGACAGAAGGAUUGCAAUAGGUACCAAACACAUAACCUGUGUCGCGUAAUGUUCAAUUAAAAUAAAUGAGGAGAUUGUUAAUGGGAAAACAAUCAAGAGCAGUGAAGUGAAGCCUUCUCUUAGGAUUUUAGAAUAGACGCAAUACCAAUGCAAACAUAAACCUCUCUUUCAAUUAAUUGUACUGUAUACCACUCAGACUAUUUUCUUUCCUACAACAGCUACAAAUAUCAAAAUCUGAUGGUGCCUCUGAAUAUUAGGUGUCUAAGCGUCAUGUUCUGUUCAUUUUGACACACUAUCAUGGUAUGAGAAAUUGAGAAGCAAAGGCCUCGAGGUUCAAGCUACUCUAAAGUUCAUUGGAUGUUGCUACAACCAGAGUAAUCAGUAUUUCAGGUAUCCUUACUUCUUGCCGAGCAGCUGCCCCAUCCUAGCUUCCCACCGGCCACACUUGUGCAGCGUAACACCUCGGUACUUUGAGUUGCCCCUUGCAAAUCCUGUGCUCUGGCGCCGCAGUAUGUGCACAAACUCCUCCUUGGUCCAAUUCUUCAUCUAACAACUCACACUGAUCCAUCAGAAACUAUCACACAGGAAAAAAAAAACUAAAAACCUAAAGAAUCAUAGAUCACAUGUCUGAUCCAUCAUCAUGAAUACCUGCUUUAAGUCCUCCUCAUAGUCAUUCAGACUGAAGUUGAUAUCUGCUUCAAGGCCUCUGAAUUUGAUUGCAGCACGAUCAUAGGCCCUGCACAACGGAUGAAACAAUCUCAGCACACUCAAAACUACGGGAUGCACCUAAUACAAACACAAUUGACGCAAGGUUCUAACCUUGCAGCUGCAUGCGCUGUAUCGAAACCACCUACAGGAAAAAAAAUCAUGCCAAGCAAAACACAAAAUUGACACUUGGCCGCAACUUGAGAUAGGAAACUAGAAUUGGAGCUCACCCAGGUAGACCUGCUUCCCGCAAUCCCUGCACAAGGCCACGCAAACGAUAGGUUUAUUAGCAAGUGCAAGCAACGCAAGAACGCGGAAGCGUGAGAGGGAUUCGACUGACCAGAUGUGCGACUCCCAGCGGCCAGUCCUCCUGUAGAAGGUGACGCCCCUGUACUGCGAGCUCCUUGACCUCGGGCCCCGCCGGCUCUUCUUCCCACCCGCGCCGCCUGGCGCCACCCCGAGAUCCGCCGGGAGACGGGGCAAGGAAUCGGGCGGCAGCGGUGGAGAAUCAUCUGACGCGGCAACCGCCGCCGCAGCAGCAUGAAACCCCGCAUCCGGCGACGGGAAGAGCUGGUGCGUCAUGACAGGCAGCAGGCACCCCUCGUCGUCGGCGCUCCCGCCGAGCAGGUCAAACCUGAACCCGCCGGAAUCGGGCGGCGAUGAGCUCGAGGUCGCGGAGCCCGAGCCGCCCGGCGACUCCGCAUUGAGAUCCAGCACCAUAGUAGCCGCCGCUUCGCAGGGGCGAGAGCGCGUCGUCCCGAUCCGGUCGAGCUCAGCGACGGCCUCUAGCGUCCAGGCGCGGCGGCCUGGUGGGAGCGUGCGGCGGGGGCGGCCAUGGAGGGAGUUUGGAGUGGAAAUGGGAGGAGGGGAGGGGAGGUGGUGAGGCGAGAGGAAAAGGGGGGAAGGCAGAGGAAUCGAGGAGGGGACGUGAGAGAGACGAAGGGCAUCGCCGGUAAAACCAUUUUUGUGCAAGGUUUCGUCGCCAAAUGCUACGCGAACACAGCUACAUGGCGACCCAUCAAUGUUGGGUGAGGUUUAGCGUUUUUGGAUUUACAAAGAGUAAAGUGCAUUUUAAACCUUAACUUUAUAGACGUCGAUCAUAUCAAACCCUGACCUUAAAAAUCCUGAAAUUGGCACCCUGAACUUUGCAAUCCCGGUCAAUAGGCUCAAAAACGUGUUUUCCAAACAGGAAUGGCUCACGUGGCAAAAAAUUGGUCCCACCGACACGUGGGACCCACACAUAAGUGAGGCAAACAUCAUUUUCCUCCCUCUUUCUCUUCCUCCCCAGAGUUUCUUCCCCAAAUCACCACAACGCCCUGCCGCUCCCUGCCCUCAUGCCGGCCCGCCCGCCGGCCCGCCGGCCUUGCCCUGCAGCCGCUCCCCGCCGUUUGAAGAUGCUUGCCAGACAGGGGCCGCCUGCUAGCCGCACUCUCCAAGAGGAAGGACCUGUUGUCCGCCGCUCCGUGGCCUCGUCGUGUUCACGGAGGUGCUGAUGAACGCCGUGAGCUCCCACGCGCAUUUCCAUUUUCUCGGCGGCGAGGGCAUCCAGCGGGAGUGCCUCCGAUCCCAUCUUGAACUUGCCACGUCAGCAAACCCAGGUUGCAAAUCCCGUUUUAUCCGCUAUAGACAGGGGUUGAGGAGUAUGGGGUGCCAAAUUCAUGGAUUAGAAGGUCGAGGUUUGAUGUGAUCCACCUCUACAAAGAUAGGGUUUAAAUUGGACUUUACUCAUUUAUAAAUAUCUUGUUAACCAAUUUUAUAAUUAAAAGUGUUUUGCGAAAUGAAGUGGACAAAGAAAUUUGCUAACAAAAUAGAAAAAUAGAUUUUCAGAUAUUGUUCUUCAAAAAUUAGAUUACUUGAACAUGUUUAGCCAUUGUAUUUGGUUCCGUACAAUAGCUUGAAAUACUUAAAAAAAAGUCAAUGUUAUUCCACGUGUAAGAAAAGUGAGAGGGGGGGAUGGACCACCUCGGCUAUGUGUCUGAGACGGCGUACAUAACAACUACUGCUACAAAUCUGUUGUCACGAUGAACAAAUGCAAAAAAAUAUAAUAGUAUGCGAAGAUAGAAGCUGACCCAAUGGUUUCAAAAGUUACACUAACUAGUGAAUUCCCCGCGCGUUGCUGAAAGCAAGCAUGCUCCACGUGCAUGGACCAAGAACAGCACAAGAUUCGCAUAGAACAUCCGAGAAAUCCAAGUAGGAAAAGAAACCUUAAAUUUGUCGAGCCGGUCCUGGGAAAGCUUUGAGGGCUUGAAUCCUGGGUCAAGUUUUUUUUAAUAUGUAGCCUACUUGAUGCGAGCGCUUCCUCCUUACCACCCCCUCGUCGCCUCCAUCGGCUUCUCGUAAGCCGCCUCCUCCUCCCCCCAUCUCUUGCUUUGCCCUUUCCUUUUUUGUUCAAUUUCAUGCCUGCUUUUUGUUAGGGGGAAAAAGACUCCCAUCAUCCCAUGCCUGCUAAGUUUCUCAAAUAUUGAUAUUCAUUCUCCAACUUCGAUCUCUCUUUGGACACGCAGGUCCCGAGCAAGCCCAACCCAUCUGUUCCUUCCCCGUCUGCAGACGAAAUAUCAGUUUUUUUUAAAGAAUCUAGGUGAAAUGUCCAUGCGUUGCAACGGGGCAACAAAAUAAAAUGGUAAACUUAAAGACAUGCAUCAAAAUUUUCUGUUUGAUCUUUUUUGACGAGCACCAAACAUCCUUGUAAAACAGGUUUUCUAAAGAUAUUCUCACUAUUUUCUACUCUCACAAAACAACAACCGGAAUUUAUAAUGAACAAACAUCCGCUCCUUAGUCUCCCAGAGCAAAUAAGAAUGGGAAUUAGCAUAUCAUAUUGUAAGUUUUUGUUCAUAUACUUCUCUACUCAAGUGAUGAACGGAUCAAUCUCUUCAUUGACAUGCUAUUUUAGAAGUUCCUUUGCCCCCUCCCUUGGCAUAGUGAACAACAUUGAAGAUAAGGCCAAAAGGGGCAUUCAUGUGGGUACCAUGCAAAUCCCUUUGCCUUUUCGUAGACACUCGCUAAUGAUUCAACUGGAAAUUAGUCCCGUCCAUGAGCGUGCGUCCUUCGAUCGUGAUUGCCAGCCCUCCGCCGGCCAUGUUCGGAUGCUCUGGGUCUUCACCGCACACCGACGGGAGCGCUCGCCGGACGCCGGCUGCGAUCCCCCGCGCCUUGGCCGUCCACGUACGCCGGCCACCUUCGAGAACGCUCGCCGGAUCAUCCCCGCCCUACGCAUGCCCCACGCGGGAGCAUUGGACCUUCUCCCGCCACGUUCGGGAGCGCUCACGGGAUGCCGGCUGUGAUACCCCGACCUCCACCAUGUCCAAGAGCUCAUGUUAGAAGUUUCAACCUGUUCAAGAGAUCAUGAGUUGCAUAAUUUUUAGAUGGGCUUCAUGUCCAUUCUUUGCUGUCUUAGCUGCUUGUUUUCUGAAACCAUGGAACUAUCUUUUGCCCAUAUUUUGAGGUGUUGCAGGAAACUGUUGAAGAACUGAAGCUAUAUUUUCUUUUCAGCUAUGCUAAAAUCUGCACAUAUUCAAGUAUUCUUUCUACAGUCACAUUGAUUCCGCUAAACCAAUCUGCAAUUACAUCCUGGGAGAUCUAAAUUGAUUCAGUGUACAGAGUAAUUCAUUCGAGUAUUCUUUGUACAGUUAAGUGAUUUGGCUAAACCAAUAUGCAACUACAAAUCUAUACAUCCCAAUUUAUUCAGUGGAUAGCAAAAAAAUUCCUGUGCAUUCACAUUAAUUCAUGUAUCCUUUGUACAGUCACAAGAUUCGGCUAAACCAACCUGCAAUUGCAAAUCUGAACAUCCAAUUGAUUGAGUGUACAACAAAGCACCUAAGCAUUGAUUCAGCUACAGAAUAACAUCACAGAAUUGAUUCAGCUUCAACAAGCAGACAGAAGCUAUCCAAAAUUAUCGGCCCAGUUUCCCCUUCAUUCAUCUACAUAACAGCUUCAGCAAACACAGGUUCAGAUAACAGCAAGCAGACAGUAGAUUCAACAACGGCAGGUUCGUCAGCUUCGUCGUCGCCUGGGGUCAACGCCGCGCAGGGGCAUCAACGUGGUUGUCCGGUCUCCUGGGGCCACCGCCAUCGCAGGGAAAGCAAGCCGUCCGGACACCAAGCCAUGGGGGCACCGUCGAAGGCUGCUAUCUCUACCUCGUGCGGUCCAGCGCCGGGUCGCCGGAUAGCAGAGGUGGCCUUCGCGCACGGCAGGUCGACGAUCCGCGUAGGUAUCUUCCUCUGCAAGCUCCGCCAGGGCCGCCGCCGCCCGCUCAGCGACGCCAAGGCCGCCACCGGCAGCGCGGGUGGUUAGCGCCGCGCCGCCGCCACAGCGUGUGGUUAGCCUCGCUGCCGCCCACCGCGAUUCGGUCGCUCCAUGGCAGAACCGCGGCAUAGGUCGUCUUCGCACGCUUGGGGAGCGGCGCCACCGUCGGCCCCUCGCCGGUGCGGAUCGAAUCGGACGGGAGAAUUGGGGAUAACUUCCUGAGGCUUGCUGCGGCGGAGGAAGGCGACCGGGCGGGGGCGGGGAGAUAUUUUUUCGCAAAGAGGUACAAGACGCGGGGGGGCGAAGGGGUGUUACGACAGCCGACCAAAACGCGUGAGGAAGACAACGGUCCGUAUUUUUUAAGAUAGAUAUAGAUAUAGAAAUGGUAAAUAUACUACUUCAGGUUUUAUUAGCAACUAGCGGAGUGUCCGUGCGUUGCUACGGAAUAAUCUUUCUCGUGCGAGAAAUCCGUUUCGUGUGGAGACUGAGGAGGACGGGAGUUUGCACUCGUGUCGUGCGAGAGAUCGAGAGGAGGAGGCUUGCGCUGAAGAUGGAUGAAGACGGACGGCUUCAGGACCUGGGGUAUUAGGUGUCAUAUUGAACGUAAUUUCGGUGCGUGACGUACCGCGACGCCUAUCAUUACCACCAACUCCAAUUUAAUAUAUUGGUAUAGAUAUGUAUCAUGUAACCCUGAUUGUCUUUCUCAUCAAACUAAUUUCAAAAAUUAACAAACAUGAACCAUAUGUCAACUCCCGUUUGGUGAGGAGACGGUCACUCGAAGCAAUCCACCAUAAAAGGAGCUAAUCAAGCUAAACAGUAUUCCACGUGUAUAAAAGUUGUAUUUUAUCAUGUACUCCCUCUGUUCCUAAAUUCUUGUAGGAACGGAAGGAAUACAAUACAACCAAAACGUUAAAGGCUGUUUUUUUUUAAAAACGUUAAAGGCCUCAAGCCGCAAGAGUGUAAAUUAAAAGUGGCACGACAAGAGAAAACAUAGAGCAGUGAGACCCGUAACUCAUAAAUUCAACGAUCACAACACAGAAUGGAAAACAGAAAGUAAUUUCUAUUCACUUUCACCAGACACCAGGUAUAAGGAUAAACCGAAUUAUAAACAAAUGCAUUUUCUCGAUCAGGCUUAGUAUCGAAGCGUGCAUCAUCAAGGACACCGACAUGGUUUUGCCAUGCAAACAUCGACAGAAAAAACUUCUAAAGCAUGCAAGAAGUGCAAAUUGGAGCACAAAACACAGAAAAUUAAAUUCGAUUCAUCUGCAAACAGAACAAAAUGUAGUGCAGGUGAACAGACAUUGCCAUAAGGUUCAGAAGAUCGAUCGUAUACAUGAGCAAGAUCAGCAGCACUUCUAAUUGCAUGAGAGAGCAAAGGAAGCAAAAUAAACAAGACGGUCAUGCAAGGACGAGUUAACUGUUAACACCUAGUGUUCUCUAACAUACUUUGACAAUAGUUGCAACAUCGGAAGAUAAAUUAGUGUUCAUUCAGCGUAGGAGAAGAACUCGUUGUGGCCCUCGAGCUGAUCCAGAGUGAACAUCGUCGGCCAUGGCGUGUAGCUCCCCAUGAGCCCCAUGGAUCCUUGGUCCUCUGCCGUCAUGGCCCACGACUCGUCAUCACUCGUCAAGCCGGUCUGCUGUUGCUCUCCAUCAUCAGUCUGAAGCCUGUAGAGAUCGUUGUCCAGCAGGUUGAAGCUGUCCACGCCGUUUAGGUUGAACACCACGCUCGAUGAAAGAUGGAUCUUGCGGAACACCAUCUCCCCGUCGUCCACUCCACUAUAGCGUCUGGCCGCAAGCACCGGUACUCCUCCAUGACCCAGCUGGUGGACGCCUUGCCCUUCCUGAAGCAGAGGCUCCUCCUCUCGCCCACCUUCAAACCGGAUUCAUCGUUGACGUCCCUUGUCUUCUGGAUUGUCCAGGUGCCGGCGCCGGCGACGCGCGCUGUCCUGGUGCGGCUCCCUUUCUGGCGUUUGGAGAGCGUGAAGAAGAAGCGGUCGCCGGUGCGAGGUCUUUGGGCUCGUGGUUGUAGAUGUCGACGCGGUGGAUGAGAUGCUCGGCGCCACGGGGCAGCGGCUCGCCGGAGAUGAGCCGCGGCAAGAAGUGGGUGACGACCUCCACCGGGCUAGGGUUGAAGCUGCAGAGGUAGAAGACCUCGCCCAGCUCUGCCUCUGCCUCCUCCAUUGGAUCGGAUGGGUUGCUGGAUGGGUUGAUUUCUUGCUCCAAUCGAUGAACGCAAAGCACUGGGAUCAAAGAAGACAGACAGCGGCGAAAUGUUGGAGACGUUUGGGGAUGGGGGUGAAUGUGAAUCUGCAAGGAGAGGUUUGGGGAUGGGGUGAGAAAAGUGACGGCGGAAUUUAAACCGGAUCGAUCGAUUCCAGACUGGCCUAUUUCCUUUCGCGUACGAAUUUAAGGAUCCACGCGUGUUGUUGCCUCCUAAAUUCCUACAACGAACUCGGGAGUAGUACAACUCAUCGGCUUGAGAGUUGAGACCGAAGCGUGCGCGACGAGUAAUUCAAGGGAUACUCUUUCCUAAAUCUGAGUUGCCUGAGAAUUUCCUAAAUCACCGCCGCGUGAGAUUCGUUCGAGCGUUUUCUUUUUCCUUGGAGAUUCGAGCGUUGUUUUUGAGAGGAUCGAGCGUGUGCAAAGGCAGCCCGUGGGCGUUCUUCAUUUCCUUUAUUUAUGUUGCCGGCCCACUUCUACUGGCCCAAUUGUGUUUUAUUGUUGGUAGGUGUGUCUUUGCCCCGUGUUGGUCGUAGUCGUAGCAUUUGUGCUGGUCGGACCUAGAGCAACUGAGCAAGGGGUCCUCCGGUGGUCAGCUUUGUGUUCCAUGGGCUUCUUGUCCUUCUUUUCUGCUGAUUUUAUAUCCAACCUAUUCAUCUUCGCCUGGAUUCAAUUGUCAAUGUAGAAAUUCAUUGGCUUCAUUUUGCUUCGAUGAAAAGAAAAGGCCACACUAAGCCACAGGAGAAGCAAUUUUUUUUUUCGAAAAGGAGGGUAACCCGCGAUGCAGAUGCACACAGCCAUACAGGAAAAACAAAUGCAAAAGGCUUGGCCCAAAUUUGGAACGAAUCUACGCACACACAAUCGACGUCUAAUAUUGUUGACUUGGUGGUAGAUGUAUUUCUUGUGCGUGAUGGCUACGGCAUUAACAUAUGCAAAUAUAUAGACAGAACCCAGUCCUACCAAUGGUCGGAACUGCUUCUCAACCUUUUUUGGAAUGCUUAUCUGUGCCAUAGUACCCUGUAGUAGUAUGAUCAAUUUAACGUUGAGAUGUGUGUUACUUAUAAAAUAUAAAAUUUCCAAUACAAAUGAUGAAUGUUUGCUAGAAGUGUACUUACGUCAUCAGCAAGAAUUAUUCCAUCAAUGCUGAUCAAAGGGUCUGCAGCUUUUGAGGACAUAUCUUCUGCAUCCCAUAACCGUAUGAGCCGUCCGAAAACCUUGCAGUUUUGCUGCCCUACAGUAAUUUCUUUAAAUCUUGUAGUGAAGCUCAUGAUUGACUUGUCUCUGAAAGAAGAUAUAACAUAUUAAUUUUGCAAGUAAAGUAAGCAUGUAAUAUUGUUGCUGAAAUAAGAGAAGAAUAUGCAAUUAAAAUAUUCUCGGUGCAAAUCCAAUAAAAUAUGGUAAGAUGCCAAAAAUGCAGAUUUGUGUUUGCAUAAUAUACCUUUAUUGUUUAAUGGAGGUUCCUAUUUUUUUUUAGAAUUAAGGAGCUCAGCUCUCGAUUUCAUUAAUGAAACCGCAAUAGUAUGUGUGAUAGAGGUCCAACAGAAAGAAAGAUUACAAUAGCUGGGCAUUAUGAACUAAUACUCCAGCAAACCAUAAAAGGUUCUAACAAGAAAUAUAAAAGGCACUGGGUCGACGACAUGUAGAUACAGACAUGUCGAUGGCUUCUUCUUUUGGUAUUGUGCAUCAGCUUGUAUCUCUCAUCGUCGCCUCCCUCCAAGCGCUAUGAGCAUGAGACACAUCAGACGCGACCUUGAUAGCCUGGAUGUGCCAUCCCUGAGCUUAUCACAGUCCGCUUCCUUUUGUAGCCCAGCCUAAAAAUUAAUCCAGUGACAAACAGAAAACAGACUAUUAGUAGGUUCUUUAAGUACUAAUCCCUUAAAAUAAAAACCAUUCCGACAUCUCCAGAUGCUCCAGCAGAGGACAGCGACGCCAACAGCCACAAGCUCUCGUUGGCGUCCCCUAAACUGUAACAUCCAGACAUCCAACAGGUCGUUAACUGAACUAGGUUCCUUGUCAGACAUCCAACAGGUCCUUAACUGAAUGCCGCGGAGUUAAUUUUUCUUUUACACGCUCAAAUAGCAGUUAAUGACUUUAUAAAUACUACAAUUAACAUCGCCUGAAUGAUCUUGGCUGCACGCAAUGUCAGAGGCACCAAUAUGCGGAUAACAGUUCUCGUUGACAAACAUCCGGAGAGACACGAGUAGUACGCAUAGCAUCUCCUUGCGGAAAAUAUCCACCGGACUAGUUUUUCAUUAGUUGUUCUGCGGCGUCCGCAUCCGUGGACAAUGCCUUCCCGGAGUAACCCAUUGAUGCCCCAGUGCAGUAAUGGCAACAAGCACAUGCACACUUGUUACGCGGGAACGUGACCCAGGAUUUCACUUGCACGUUAACCAACAGAUUUCACUCGCAAGUUUUUUACUAAUCCAGCCCCAAAAAUGUAUAUGUUCCUUUUGAAAUUUUCAUCCUUGUUUUGAUUGUUCUAUCAAUUUUUGUAAGUUUAUCGACUAAAAUGUUUCUAACCGCCAUCUGCCAGUUCUUCCUCAUUUUUAUAUUUUAUUUUAGGAAGUUACCGUGCAAGGAAAAAUCGAAGAAAGUAAGGAUGAGAUUUUUGAACUAAACAUGAAGGUCCACGUCGAAAGGACGACACCAAUGCACGGAGGAGGGUGCCUUGUGGCCCUCAGGUGGCCUGGGCCUAGGCCGCACCAGGGGCGCAUGGGGCCCACUAGUGGCCGCCACCUUCGCCCUUUGGACUACAUCUUCAUCACUCUUUGAUUUUUUUUGUCAUCAGGAAGAAGGUGAAAAUAAUAGAGAGAAAAACUACCAUAAAUUUUGCCACCAGCAAGGACGGAAUUGGAGGGGAAUGCCUCCAGAGCCUUAUUUUCACCCCAUUCAUCGAUUCCUGUUGCGCUCCCUGCUACAUAAUCCGUUAUUCUUGGAAGUUCCCCACUGACGCAAAACUAAAAAGCGUCAGUGCAGAUUCUUAUCUCUGAUGCUUCUUAUAAUUAAAGAUUGUCACAUGUAGCAUCCAGGAGGCCGCAACAAAAGAUAUUUCUGACACCUACCUCAGAGAAGCGUCAGAGAAAUUCCACACUUCUGACGCUUCAUUUCUACUGACGCUUUCUUACUUCGUAAGCGUCUUAACUACCUCCACCACCAUAAGCAUCUUCCUCUUUCCUCUUCCCCGGGCCGCGCACCUCGCCUUCUUCGGCGUGCUCAUGGAUGAUGUUGCCGACAUAUCAAGGCGCUUCUUGAUCUUGUCCACAACGAUCUGACGUGUGUACCUUGUAUGAAAUAGCAGAUCUUGUAUGCAAUGCAAUGUGAUGUGGUUGAUCUUAUAUGAAAUGUAACAGAUCUUGUCUGCAAUGUAAUGUGGUCGAUCUUGUAUGAAAUGUAGCAGAUCUUGCAUGCAAUGAAUGACAUUCAUAUUGGCUCAAUGUUUCCCUGUGAUUUAAAUUAAAAUUAUAUGGUUGACUCUGACGUUGACAGAAAAAAAAGACGACAGAUGUAACUUCUUUUCCUCUCAUAAGAACCAUCACCGACUUUUCUUGUUUAAGGAGGUGUCAAAGAUAACUAGCUCUGAUGCUUCUUUAGGCCCAAAAGAGUCAGCAAAAGUACCCUGAUAUGACCAAUGAGGCUCAGAGAAGACUAGUCCUCACACGUGUCCUGGAAGAACCGUCAGUAGGUUUUUCCUACUUCUGACGCUUGCCGACACAUCAGAAGUUCCCGAGUCAUCUCUGACACUUGAUUAAUGACACAUCCCAUUUGCGGCAGACUACAGGUUUUUGACGCGUCAGAAAAUAAGUGAUUUUGUAGUAGUGUCUCCAAUGAGUAGGGAGUAGUUCACCUCUCGGUCAUGGGUUUGUGGUAGAUUGUAUCCGAUCUCUCGAUGUACUCUAUUGUUUAUCGAACAUAUGAUUUGUCCUACAUGAUUAUGACCUACAUGGUGUAAUUCUUUUGUUUUGUGGAUCAUUUGUUGCGAUUUGAUAUAUGAUAUACAGUUCGUUUUCUUUUUGACAAAAGACAACAUCAUUGUUUCAAAUAUAUAAAGAAGAGUUACAUAUGAAUAACAACCAUCCGAGAAGAAAAGAGAUGGCUUACACGACGGUCAUCACCACAACAAAAGAACACAUGCAUUGCUAGAGCAUCACAACUAAGGCGAAGGACCACACGACACCAAGAUAAAAGCAAAGAACCCAACAUACAAGCCAACUUAGCUACCAUCACCAUAGUCACCAAAGCGAACAAAGUCAACCAGUGUAGCAAGCGUGACCGGAAGACCUCAUUCCCAUCUUCGAAGGGCGUUACAGAGUCGAUACUACACCGCACAUAAAUCUUAACCGCAAGACUUCGACGCAACAUGACAACCUAGAGAGAUAGAUGACAGUUAGUACUUAGAUGGUGUUACAAUAUUGUGCAUUUUUAUUAACACCGGGUAUGAAGAGCAUCUCUAGUAGACCCCUCCACAUAAGAUAGACCUUAAAACUAUUUUAUGAUAUCCCACAGGCUGCAAAGAAACAAAUCCCGCAAAUGUUUACCAUAAACCGAAUAUUCCUCUUCUUCUUCGGGUUGUGAUGGGAAUCGACGACCGGAGCAAGCUUUGUAGAACAUCGGAUGAGACACACUGAGGCCUGACAAAUCAGUGACGACGACACGUCAUGGCUACGCAGCCGGAUCUGGUUGGCUACCGUGACGACGGCCGAACUGAGCCACCCCGUGGAACUACACGCUGGAUUAAUGGUGGUCACGAGCUCGGGUCAAUUCCGGGCAGAAGGGACCUGACGGGUCGCGAGAUCCCAGAGGUGUGGGAUGGGCGCAACGAAUGACAAAAAAGCUUGUCGGUGGUGAUAAAAAACUACGGCAGUAGGCUGCGGCAGGAGCGGAUGGAAACGUGUGGGCUAAAACUCCAUCGCACCAAUAGUUUUCAAGCCUUCAAGAGGCACCAAAAAUUCCGUCAUGGGAACUGUGGGAAUAAAACGUGUGGAGAGGUGUUCCUAUGGUAAGUCUUAGUAUUUCGAGGUUUCAAAAUGUGGGAAAUCUGUUUGAAUCCAUUUUUUUCAUCCGAAACCAUAAAAUAACGAUUAUUCCAAGAGCGUGUGGCGAAAUGCGAAAUGUUGUAGAGAUGCUCUGACUCCAGCCUUGUUAAGGGUGAAACCGGAUCGGAUUCGGACGGAUAAUGCUCAUACCAUAUCCUAUUCCAUAUUUUUUAUCGGAUUCGGAAACAGUGAGGAUACAUAUUCGGACACGAAAACAUAUAUGGUACGGUAGCGGAACGAUGCCGAAUCGGAAACGGAUAAUGAUGAACGGAUAGUGCGUGCAUAGUAGUAAUAACAAACAAGUUCAUAGUCAUCAUUUAUGUUGGGCCUAGACCCCAAAUCAUGGCUAAGAUGGCAAGAAAACACACCAGAAGUAGGUUGGGAUAUAUUUUGAUAUGGGCUUUCUUGCACGACCAGUCUGGACUAGGGGGUUGCAUGUAACAUGUUGGUAAAACGGAUAAUAUCCGACUUACUGGGGUCGGAUUAUCCGAAAUUACAAUCGGAUAAUCUGGUAUCCUCUGGAUAAUGCUCAUACUAUAUCAUACUAGCAAAAGAACCCGUGCAAUGCUACGGAACAACGGAAAGUGUAUCAAGCACGAGUCGUUGGAGGCGAAGUCUGGACAUUGAUUUUUCGAUUAGAUUGAUUUCCAAACUGAGAUUGAUACCAAGAUUUUUUGUUUGGGUUCGGAUUGAUUUCCAUACUGAGAUGGAUACGAAGAAUUUUGGAUUUCAUGCUAAGGAGAUUGAUUUAUUUUAGGACUGUUCGUAUUAUGUUGUGACAAAUUUGAACCGUACGAUAACUUUCGGUAAAUCUAAACCUGGCAUAUUGAUUGUAAUUUUAAUGAAGUUGACUGACCAACACCGACCAACGGCCCCCACCCAUCACCACCGAUUUCAAUUUAAUAUAUUGUAAUAGAUAAUAGAUACCGUAUAAGACCGGAUAAUAAUUUCUCUUCUCGUAUUCUAUAAAAUUAAAUUCGGAAAGUAAUUAUCCUAACCACUUUCACCCGGAAAUAAUGUCUCCCGGACCCCACACUUCCGAAUGCCCAUCGCCCAUGCACCAUAGAACUGACAGACGGGUCCCACCUUUGGUGUCCCACGCAGGCCACGGUCGGAGCACCAGGUCACGCCCCCGUGGACCGCACCCCUUUACCUUAAAUUCCGUCCAGUGUCAGAGCUCCGACCUGAGCUCGCCUCAUACCGGAGGCGCCGACACUGCUGCCUGCGCCGCCGGCCGCCGAGCCGCCGUCGCCUCUGCCGAUGGAGAUGGCUCCCGCCCCCGUUUCGCCCACUCCUCGCACCGUAGAUGACAUCUACAAGGACUUCUCCAACCGCCGCACCGCCCUUGUCCGCGCCCUCACCGUCGGUAAGCGACACAAGCGACGCCCCCCUCUCGCUGUCUCUUUCCUCUCUUGCAGAUUGGAUCUAACUGCGACGGCGCCUCACCCCGUGUGCUCUCUUGGCUCUUGCAGAUGUGGACGACUUCUACGGGUUCUGCGACCCAGGUAAGAUCGGAUCGGAUCUGAGAGGUUCGGAAUGGUGGGUUUCGUCCAAUCUUCGUGGGUUUUGAUUGGGUUUCUUGGUUGGUGCGCAGAGAAGGAGAAUUUGUGCCUGUACGGAUACCCCAACGGCAGCUGGGAGGUCGCGCUGCCGGCCGAGGAGGUGCCGCCGGAGAUGCCCGAGCCGGCGCUUGGGAUUAACUUCGCCAGGGACGGGAUGAACCGCCGCGACUGGCUCUCGCUCGUCGCCGUCCACGCCGACUCGUGGCUGCUGGCCGUCGCUUUCUUCUUCGGUGCGCGCCUCAAUGCCAACGACAGGUACGGCCCCGCCUUCAUCAGAUCGGGAGGAGCUUGCCCUUCUCUUAAGUCUCUUUAAAUCUUUGCUCUGAAUGUCCAUUACGAUUGGAAAGAUAACUUCUUGGAGGGAUCAGAAAAAUUCUGAUGGAUAAUGUUGAUCUAGAUUCUUGGCUUGAUUGCGUAAUGCUCUUCUAGUGCUUGUGCGUGGGGUUUAUUGAUCUCUUAUUUUAUUUUAACCUCAACUGAUACAUGUGUGUGAUUGGGCUGUUGCACAUGUUUCUUAUGCUUCCUUCGUUCUGUUGCCCCUUUUCCUUUUUCUUUCUCUCUCUCUCUCUCUCUGCUGUGUACUAUGGGGCCAUGUUUCGCACUGUGUAUGCAAGCUUUAUUCUUUGUCUCUGUUUUUCCUUUGUUUCUCCUCCCUUUUAUGUAUAACAGCCCUUUGCCUUUGAUGGUUGCAACGUCAUUUAAGUCUUUUGGCACCGGCGAUCUUGGCUUGUAGAGUUCUUAUACUCUUCACAUUUAUAUCAGAUUGUGCUCAAAGAUUGAUAGUAUCUGCUAUGCUUGACUUUGUUUAUUUGGUGAGAAAUCGAAAAGGCGCCAUGAUGUCUGUGGUCACUAGUUACUCCCUCCGAUCCAUAUUAAUUUUAUUGUCUAAAUAUUACAUGUAUCUAGACAUUUUUUAGGCAUAGAUACUGCAUCCAUAUUUUGGCAAAUUUGAGACAAUUAAUAUGGAUCGGAGGGAGUAGUAUUUUGGAGUUUGGAUGAUGGAAAAUUCCUGAGUUUUCAUGCUCUUUGCUUUUCAGCAGUUUGGAUGCUUCAGGUGAUAUUUUGUGAUAUACCUGUUUUUGGGAAGUUGACAGUGAAGGUGUUUGAAAUUUGAGACAACAAAAUUUGUGAAAUGCAUGUAGAAUCCUAUUGUGUUAUCUAAUACUCCCUCCGUGUACUAAAACCACGACAAGAAUUUAGGGACGGAGGGAGUAUUCAUCAUACCACAAACUUCAAUUUGUCCUAUGGUUAUCAUAGAAGGCUUAAAAGGAAAAAAAGGAAUCCUUUAAGUCUAGUUCAUUUUUCUCAUCAAAUUGGGCCUUGCUUAUAGAAUGAUACCAGUCGAUGUGAAUCGUAAAGAAUAUGGUGGUCUUCUUCUUCCCAAAAAUUACCCUUCCCCUAUGUAUUCUUCCCAGAACUGGAGUACCGGUACAAAAUCACCUCCUCCAGAAUACCCAACAAGUUAUUGUUGAUCUUGCAUCACUGGUACAAAAAUUACCCUUCCCCUAUGAUCUCUUUCUUAGUUUUCUCUUGAAAUUUAUGUUAUAGAGACUACAAAAAGAACUGUGCACACUGAACAAUAUACUUUUGUCGUCCUAGAGGUUGAUGCAGAUGCAACACACACAUCUCUAUGUUGUACACAUGUGUGGCAGAUCUUGGCUGCAUGGUGGUCCACGGAUAACAUGGCGACGUCUUAGAUGCAACACAAAUGGUGCUGAUUGUCGGCUGUGGGAGUCAUAGGUCAUGACCUGGUGCUGGUGGCACUCUAGAGGAGAUGGGUGCUGUAUGACAGCGCGUGGAGCAUUUAAGUGAAUCGCGAAGUGGUAUAGAUCGGAGGCUGCCUAGGAGGCGCUGGAGCACAUGCUUUGUGAUCUCUGUGGCUGCCGCCAGGAUGGUGCGUACGAGGCGAGCUCGGUACCCAUAUUGGGUCAGGAAUAGGUUGGAUAGAGUCUUCGGAGGAAGACUAUGGGUGUAUAUGGUUUUGAGCCAAAGCUACCCAUGUGAAAAUAUUGGCAGCCCGUGAUAAUUUGGUGCUUGUUUGCUUUGUUGCAAAAAAUUUGGUUGUCAAUGAGUAUAUACCCAUCCGUUGCCCGUCAAUUGUUGGCUCAAGAAUUGUUGGCCAUAAAAUUGGUAAGCCAAAUUUUGCUUGAUUUGGUCGGGCUACGUUGCGCAUGAACCAAACAUGGUAUGCUUUUAAUUUUCAAGAUUACCCUAGACAGGUGGCAGUUAUUAAGUGGAGUCUAACUUGAUGAGUAAAGAGACCAGGUCUUAUAAGUCCCCUAUUUGGUAUGCCUGUUAGUUCUGUUUAUUCUCUUAGUUCUGUUUGUGUUGCUGCAUAAAAUGUUGUUUCUUUCCUUUAUUCAAAUUUACAGGUCAGCUUUCCUAAGAAAGAGCUUGCCGAUUUUGUUGCAUAAUCAAGAGCAAUGUUUAGAAGUCUUGUUUGUGUAAACUGUGUAGUUUGGUUGCACUAAUGGAUAGCAAGGCCUUUCUUUUAUGUUUUCUGCAAAUAGGCACAUCACAAGAUGUUCAAACAGUGCUUGCAGUGUCAUAUUAAUUCUGUUAAUCAUCUCGUGUUUGUACCCUUAAUUCUUUUACAAAAUUUGUUUUCUUACUUUUAUGCUUUUGCUGAAUCUUGAUAUUCUAUUUGUCAACCAUCAUAUUAUUUUUCCUUAGAUACUUUAUUGAUGACCUACUAUUUCAUUUGUGCCAAUUUGGUAUAUACAUGCUUUCCCUUUUAUUGUGCCAGCCAACGAUUAAAUAUUCUUCACACCCUUGGGUUUUUUUCCCCAUAGCUGAAGUGAUGGUUUUUGUUAUGUUCACUGUACUUUCCUUUUUUGCAUUAGGGACUAUAUUGCUAAACUAUGCGCUUGUGCCCUGUCUCUAUGUUCACUGUACUUUCCUAGAGCCACCUAUAGUGAAGCAUGAAUUUAUUAAUUAUCUGUACACUAAUCACCUCCAAAAAAACAAAGGGGCAACUCCAUUGCGAACGAGCACUUGGUGUAAUGGUUAAGGAACAACUCUAGUAGCACUCAGGUCCUGAGUUCGACUCCCCGUGGGAGUGAAUUUCAGGUUGGGGUUAAAAAAUCCUCUCGUCUGCCCCACGCCUUAAGCACAGAUCUAAGGCCUGCCCACUCUCACACGGGCUUCGGUGCCGCUGUGUAUGGUGUGGGGCAGGGGUUCGGGGGUUUCUCGACCUGCGUGAGAAGGUCUUCUUCUAAUGCAAAUGCCUGGGGGGUGGCCUACCCCUUUGCAGAUCCAGUUUUUUUAAUCACCUCCAGAAAACAAAGGGGGCAUUCUUAAUCUUAGGCACUCUGGAGUGUUCACCUGGAAACAUUCUUUAAUUUUUGUUGACCUUAGGGUAUGUUUGAUUUGAGCCCAAACCUGCCCUUCCAAAAAUUUGGCUAGCCAGAAAAUUGGCCAUUGUUUUGCUUGCCCAUGAGUUAGAACUUUGGCCCAAAAAAUGAAAUAGAGUUGGCUAAGGGGCAUUGGUAUGCCAAAUAGUUAGCAGCCAUCCAAACAAAGACCAAAUUGUUUGGUCAUGACCUAAAAAUUGGCGUGGUCCAUAUUGGCUGCAAUCCAAACAUAUCCUAAUUUCCAAUUCCUCUGGGCAUACUAUUAGCAUCAAUAUCUCAUGGUGAAAAUUGUGUCAGUACACAAGGAUAGUUUCCUGACUUGUGCCCUGCUAAUACAUUUUGCUGGGUACUUGUCAAUUAAUUUUCCAUGUUUGGCUGUCAUCUUUUCUUUUGUACCCCUGCAGAAUACACCUUUUGAAAGCAAAAGAACUAGCGGUGAAAUUGGUUGUAAUUGCCAAUCCAAAUCCAACAGCUAUACACUCCGGCUUUUGAAUCCAAGCACAAAAUGUGGUAAUAGGGUUUUGAGCACUGUCUUCCUACGGAAUCCGCUCGUUUUCACCCCUACAGAACUGUUGUGUUUAGGUUAAUUGUCAUGUCCUUCAAAGUCUUUUUAGAUUGCUGACAAACUAAUACCUAAUGAAUACCCUUCUUAGAUAUGCUUCAUGUAGAAAUAAAGACCACCGCUAUAUGUGGACUACUUGGUGUCGUGGAUUCUCUGUCUGAUUUAAAGUCACUGCCAUGACGCACAUCAUCAUUUUUUUUGGAUGCGACUUAUCAUAUCAUGAUUAAUAGUACGCCACAUAUCAGCUGCACUCAAUAUUUUGGAUUUCCGUUAGAUCAGAUCUUUCGCUUUGACAAAUUCGGACCUAUCGACUCUACUUCAUGUGAACAAGUAAAGAAGUAAGACGAGGAAGUGGAGCUGUCUUAGAAGCAGUAGCUUCCCCUGACAAGAUACACUACAACAGUAGUGACCAUGAAUAAAAAAGGCCCUAGUUUAACGAGUUUGCUGCUUUUCCCAGGCAGGACAGGUGACUAUUUGUUGAUUGAUCUUGAUCUUGUUUGUUUGGUGUGUGUUCAGUUUAGUGCGAUACAAAGUAGAAACUACAACUAGAUCAAAACAGAACGGCCGCCCACUAUAGAAGCUAUACUUGUUUCAAAACUCUAACUGAACCCUUGCCUGGAACUGAGACUUUGCUUCUUGUUUCAGGAAGCGCUUAUUCAGCAUGAUAAAUGACCAGUCCACUGUGCUUGAGUCAUUGUCUGAACGGAAGCAUGGGAGGGAUAAUAAAUCUGGUGGCGAUAACAGUGGCAAAUCCCGACACUCAGCGAAGGUGCCAUUUUAAUAUUCCUAUUUUCUUUCUCAUGUCAAAACAUUAUCCAGUUGUUUUCCUACAAACUGAAACCUAACUUCGUUAUGCAGCGAGCAAAUAAUGAUGUCCAGACAAAGAACCCAAGGCCAGUGGCUGUUGAUGUCGCCUACGAAGAUGACGAUGAACACAGCGAAACCCUUUGCGGAACCUGCAGCGGUCGCUACAAUGCAAGCGAGUUCUGGAUCGGGUGCGACAUUUGUGAGCGGUGGUUCCAUGGCAAGUGUGUGAGGAUAACUCCGGCAAAAGCGGAGCAUAUAAAGCACUACAAGUGCCCUGAUUGCAGCUCCAAGAAAAGCAGGCAAUAAAAACCAUGGAAGGUGCUGCCUCCCUGUUGCUGACUCAGCUGAUCAAUGAAACAAUACUCUUCUCCUCUAGUCCCGGUUUCCAGCAGAUGUGAGUUGCUUGUAGACAUUAUGCGCUGUUGUGUUAGAUGUUGGAAAGACAUACAGAAAUAGUUGGUUUUAUAAACUGGUCAAUUGCUCUUGUGGUUGUUCCUUGAGAUACGAACGACUGUGCAUUGUAGUGUUAAUUUAGAAGAAAUUUGUCCAUGCCAUCUUGUUUUGGUAUGUAAAUUCGUUUUUUUCUUUUAUUUGGUAUAUCUGUAUUGACUGCGUUGUGUUAGUGCUUCGAGUCGAGGAGUUUCCAGCCGAAUUAGUCUUACUCGUUUCGUUCUCAAGUCCCUUUUAAGGAAUUUCCAGCGAAAUUGGUUUAUUUUUUACGUGAGAUGUUCUGUAGGUGUCUUCUUAUUGGAUGACAUGAAUACAUUGCUGGUCCAGGUAUGGGUUGAUUGAGCAGAAUUGCAUGUUAACCCAGAUCAAAACCUGGGUUUAACUUGUCAUGGCUCUUCCAAGUUCUAAGACGGAGCAUCCUUUGAGUAGCAGUCAACCUACCAGUUGGCGGUAAGGUGCCAAUGAGAGCGUGAAGGUGUGUUUGCUCAACCAGAAACAAAUUUUCAAACAAAUUUUUCGUCUCACCCGGGUCAGUGUCACCCGUCGCGGUCGUGAGGGGAGCAUUGCGUGCUUUGUGCAGCAAAACCUCCUCUCCGAAUCCUCAUCUCAAUUCUUUCGUUGACUUCAAUUAUAUACCCCGUUUGGCGUUUGCCUUUGGUCGCGUUUCUUGGCUCGGAUCGUCGUCCUCGAUCGGUUCGAGUCACGAUGAGUGGCGGCGAGCUCCGUCGGGGAGCGCUUGAGGAGAGCCUGCUGCUGACGGGGAGGACGCAGUGGGACAAGACAUACCUGGACGUGCUGGGCGUGUGCUGCUCGGCGGAGGUCGCGCUCGUGGAGAGGCUCCUCUCGCCGCUCGCCGGCGUGAGGACGGUGUCCGUCGUCGUCCCCUCCAGGACCGUUGUCGUCCAGCACGACCCCGCCGCCGUCUCCCAGUCCCACAUCGGUACUAAAACUCCCUCUUUUACUUUCAAGCCUAAACCAACAAAAUUCUAACGUUGCUGUGAACUGGCGCUUUGCGCCGGCCGGCAGUGAAGGUUCUGAACGGGGCAGGCCUGGAGGCGUCGGUGCGAGCCUAUGGGAGCAGCGGGAUCAUCAGCCGGUGGCCCAGCCCGUACAUCCUCGCCUCCGGCGUCCUCCUCCUGGCGUCCUCCCUGAGCUGGCUCCUCCCUGAUCCCCUGCAUCAUCUGCAGUGGCUGGCCCUGGCCGCGGCCUUCGUCGGCGCUCCCCCGAUGCUGCUCCGGGGCUUCGCGGCCGCCAGCAGGCUCACGCUGGACAUCAACGUCCUGAUGCUCAUCGCCGUCGCCGGCGCCGCCGCUCUCGGGGACUACACUGAGGCCGGCGCCAUCGUCUUCCUCUUCACCACCGCCGAAUGGCUCGAGACCCUGGCUUGCACCAAGGUAAUCAAGAACGAGCCUCUUCCAGAACUCCAGGUCUUCAGAAACUUUUGAUUGGACGGAAUCCUAUGUUGACCUUAAUUUGCGUGGUCAGGCUAGCGCCGGCAUGUCGUCGUUGAUGAGCAUGAUCCCGCCAAAGGCAGUGCUCGCGGAGACGGGUCAGGUGGUCAACGUGAGCGACAUCGGUGUAGGCGCCGUCGUCGCCGUCAGGGCCGGCGAGGUGGUCCCGGUCGACGGCGUGGUGGUGGACGGGCAGAGCGAGGUCGACGAGAGGAGCCUCACCGGGGAGUCCUACCCGGUGCCCAAGCAGCCGCAGUCCGAGGUCUGGGCCGGCACCCUCAAUUUGGAUGGUAAUCUCAAAGUGGAUUCCCAGACCACAGUAGUACUCCGUAACAUUUUGCACACAAAAUUCUCAAGGCCAAGGCAACCAUGUUCUUGAUCUGGUCCCUUUCUUGCAGGCUACAUUGCCGUGAGGACAAGUGCUCUUGCGGAGAACUCGACGGUGGCCAGGAUGGAGAAGCUGGUGGAAGAGGCCCAGAACAGCAGGUCCAAGACGCAGCGGCUUAUCGAUUCCUGCGCGAAAUACUACACGCCAGCCGUGGUGGUCAUGGGGGCAGGGGUGGCGCUGCCGCCGCUGCUGCUGGGAGCAGGGGACCCGGAGCGGUGGUUCAGGCUGUCCCUGGUGCUGCUGGUGAGCGCGUGCCCGUGCGCGCUGGUGCUGUCGACGCCCGUGGCCACCUUCUGCGCGCUCCUCACGGCGGCCAGGAUGGGUGUCCUAAUCAAGGGAGGGGACGUCCUCGAGUCCCUGGGGGAGAUCACGGCCGUCGCCUUCGACAAGACCGGCACCAUCACCAGAGGCGAGUUCAGCAUCGCCGCGUUCCAUGUGGUCGCGGACAAGGUUCAGAUCACCCACCUUCUUUACUGGUAAAUAUGUUCACUUCCACUUUCACCCCUGAAACUCAUGUGUGUGAAGUGAAAUGAUGAUUUCUUGUUGCAGGGUGUCAAGCAUCGAGAGCAAAUCGAGCCAUCCAAUGGCGGCUGCACUUGUGGAGUACGCGCGGUCCAAAUCUAUCCAGCCAAAGCCGGAGAAUGUCGCCGAGUUUCGCGUGAUUCCCGGAGAGGGCGUCUAUGGAGAGAUCCAUGGAAGGCACAUCUACAUCGGAAACAAGAGGGCGGCCCUGGCAAGGGGAUCGUGUCACACAGGUGAACACUUGCUGCUUGAAAAAUGAUGUUUUGUUUCAGAAGAAACUGACUCAACUGAACUCAACUUUGUGUCGACGUUGACAGUUCCAGAGAAAAAGGACGGUGAUCUGAAAGGCGUGUCCGUGGGAUACGUGAUCUGCGACGGGGACCUCGUCGGGGCGUUCUCCCUCUCGGACGAUUGCCGGACCGGAGCGGCAGAAGCGAUUCAGGAACUAACAGCCAUGGGCAUCAAAUCCGUAAUGCUCACGGGAGACAGCGCGGAAGCCGCGGCGCACGCGCAGGAGCAGCUCGGGGGCGCGCUCGAGGAGCUCCACUGGGAUCUCUUCCCGGAGGACAAGGUGCGGCUCGUCGCCGCCCUGAAGGCGAGGGCGGGGCCGACGAUGAUGGUCGGCGACGGGAUGAACGACGCCCCGGCGCUGGCCAUGGCGGACGUGGGCGUGUCCAUGGGCGUCUCGGGCUCCGCGGCCGCCAUGGAGACCAGCCACGCGACGCUCAUGUCCAGCGACGUGCUCAGGGUGCCCGAGGCCGUCAGGCUCGGGCGGCGCGCGCGCCGGACCAUCGCCGUGAAUCUGGUGGCCUCGGUGGGGAUCAAGGCCGCCGUGUUAGUGCUCGCGGUCGCCUGGACCCCGGCGCUCUGGGCGGCGGUGCUCGCUGAUGUCGGGACGUGCCUGCUCGUCGUGCUCAAUAGCAUGCGGCUGCUGGGGGAGGGGAACAGAGGGGGAGGUGGGAAGAAGAAGAAGGAGGAGGCUUGCCGUGCCACGGCGAGAUCGCUGGAGAUGAGAAGGGCUCAGCUGCUGCUCAACGCCGAUGAUGCGUCCAACGCUGCUAGUACUACGGUUGUUGUUGAGAGACCAGGUGGUGGCGGUGGGAGAGAGAAAUGCCAUUGCUGUCACAGGGAAAACGAGUCUCCUGAGAGUUCGGUUGCCAUCGACAUUAUUCGAGUCGACGAGCGUCCGGAGGAAGUGAGGAAGAUUGCGGCGUGUGCGCCUGCGAAAGGCGGAGCGGACGCCUGAUGUUGCGGCAGCAGCAGCAAGGCUACUGGAUGCGGCACUUUGGUCAGGCCUAUUUCAUCGACCCGCGCAUCAUCGCUACGAUGUUGUUCCGGCCAAAUAGACAGCUAAGAAAUUGUACACCAAAAUGGCGCCCGUUGAUGGUAGGGUGAAAGUGAUAGCCCCCCGAUAGACAUCCUUCUAGUGUUUAAAAUGAUGUAUUUUUCAGACAGACAUUUUUUAGUCAUAAAUUCAUACACACAAAUCAGACAAAACUGCUCCCUUAAGCAAGCGAAUCCACGACACAAUAGGAAAUAAGGUACAAAAGUACAGAGUAAUGCAUUAAGUAAAAUGGUGACAAUAAGUCGAGAAUCGACCCACAAGCAGGUUGUAUCCCUUUUUACCCUUUGUGAGGUGACUCAAAAUACUUGCAACAUGCACAUGUGUUUUGACCUUUUAUGUCACCAGGCUGAUUACACAAGUCAAAUCGCUCCAACUAACAUCGUUCUAUCCUUUGAGAUUGGUCAAACAUUUGAAUCAUGCUUUUUUAUUUUUCUGAGAGAAAAAACGGUCGACUCCGUCAUUCGAUUAGAUAGGAAGAAAUAACUGUACAAAGGGCCCUAAGAAAGGGACCUUGGGAAGAGGAGGUGAGACAAAAUAAACGAAAAAGCAUGCAAUAAAGCCUAAUCUUCCGGGUCCGAAGAGCACGCCCGGGAUCUGCCUUGGAUCUCCUCCCAAAUCAAAUGAGCCACGUCAAGAGUAGGGAGAGCUCUCCCUCCAAAGAUCCUCCUAUUCCGCUCCUUCCAAAUACCCCACCAAACAUAGAUGAAGUGUCCACUCUUAUUGCGUUUUUUUUUUCUUCUGAAGGCCAAAGAUGAGGGAAUCCCAGUGAUCAUUGAUGGAUCUGGACUGGACGUGGUGUCGAUGAUCGGCGUGGCUUGGCUCCAUCUCUGUAUGACGCUAAGAACAUCGGAGGUGAAGUUGCAAUCCCUACAGAUGUGGAGGACAGUCUUCAGGUGGAUCCUACAGAGCUAACGGAUCGGAUUGUGAGUCCAACCCCAGAUCGCCAAGUUGUGCGCAGUGAGGAUUUUCCCGUGGACCAAAGUCCAAGCAAAGAAGUUGCACUUGGGCUCCCUCUGCGCCUUCGUAAUCUUGCCAACGGAGAAAGCAGGGAAAGAGCAUUGGAAUUGGGCCCUGUAGGAGGCCGCCGCCGUAUAGACCCGCAGUUGUCCAUCUCCACGUGAUGCGGUCGUUCUGGGAAGUGAGAUGGAUCGUGUGAAUGCAAUCCCAAAGUUGCUAUUUUAUUUUCACUAAAUCGGUUUGGGUGAAAACUAGGAAUUGUUGCAUUGUUUUUCUCUGUGAACUGCUUUUGGUUAUUUGAAUUGCAAACUCUCAUAAACACGUUUUAGAUCUUUUAAGCACAUUUGUGAUUGGAUUGACGCUCCAGUUGGUAAGUCUUACUGACAUUCUUUGGUUGCAUGUCUGUUGAGCUAUAAAUUGGGCUAAAAUACUGUCCAUAAAGACUGCCCCGAUACCCUGUACUUGUCGUUAUCACCUACUUCCCAAUAUUUUGGAGGCAAAUGCUACAUAUUGGACAAGAAGCACAAGCAUGCUAACUUCUAACCUAAAUGCGUACCGGGGGUUUAAUUCUUGAUUAUCAGUCAAAUGCAUUUUUGACAACUCAAAGGUUGUUGAAAUUUAUAAGGACACGCAAUUUGACGAGUCUAAUGGUUCUUAAGAAGAGCAAUUGCCAUUAAGUGUAGAUAUUCAUACAAUCCCCGAAAACAUACAAAAUAUGACAAUUGGUGAGAUUAGUUGGGUGGAAGUUAAGAAAAGCACAUCUUUGUAAAGGGGUGCUUAAUAUUAAAGAUUGACAAAACAAUUUUCAACAAAUAACCCUAGAGUGAUUUGGACUACAUGGAGGAUGGUGUAACGAAAUUCUUGGUGUUUUCAACUUUCUGGCACAUAACAGCGACAAUUACUCAUAAUCUUAUAUUUUAAAUAAAUUCUAUACUAUUCUGCAUAUUAUUUGGUUUGCUUCUCUAUCUUUCCCAAGACAUAGUAGCAGAGAGUAGAGAGAAGAGCACAUGUCUGCUUCAUUUCAUUUCUAAUAAGUCGAAAUGAAACUUUAAGCUGCACAAGUGACCAAAAAUGCUUGAGUAGGCACGUGCCCUCCUCAACCGCAACUUAGGCAAUUUUCUUAGUUUUUGGGUUUGGUCGUUUUUCAUGUUGUAUGCAGACUUGCAGAGGCUGGGUAAUUAAUUUUCAUUUUUCCAAGUUUUUUUGCGCAGUUUUUGAAUUUUCUUUUCCUGUACGGUUUUCAUACUCCAGGGUGUGAAUUGGACCCUUUCCGGUUCAUCGUGCUGUUUCAAAGUAAUAAUCCUAUCGUUUCUUUGCCUUCGAUGGAAUGAAAUUGUAAUCGCUUGAACAGCUCUUUUUUUUACAGCAAUUCCUUGAACAGAACCUCAUAGGAGCCAAAUCUCUUGUCCUCAAAAAAAAAAAAGCGCAUGUUUCGCAAAAACUGUCAAGUGGGUCGCUCCGUAGUUUCAGCCCAGCUUGUAAAGUGUGAAAACAGUACUACAGAGAAUGGCGCCGCGCCCGUCAAAAAAAAAAGAAUAGCGCCGCGCUGAAUUUUGCUGCAGGUUCUUCAGUCAAACCGGCUCUAACCCUGACUUUCUUGCUGCUUCGUUCAUCAUUUACAUAGUGUCGACACCCCGUCUCUGAGAUAAGCAAUUAAGCACGCACACUUUCUGCACCCUCUCACUCUCACUCUCACUCUCAAACAAACCUACACGGUUGCCAUUCCAUUCCAAACCCAGUUUGAGGCCAAGCGUGCACGAAAAUUACAUCGUUCCAACCGGCUAGUAAACAAGCACUACUGUAUAUAUAUCCUUGACCCAAAAGUCACGGAGCAAACUACUGUAAAUCAAUAGUAAAGCGCGUAAUUAGGCCCAUUUGGCAGCGCAAAAAAAAAACCCAAAAAACAAUCAGGCCCAUUUGGCGAGCAUGGACAUGAGCCCGGCGCCGAGGAGCAUGGAGAGGUUGAUGCCGAGCUGGAGCUUCCCCCUGCUCUGCACCUUGGGGUUCAUGAAGUCCUCGGCGAGGAGGUCGACGAGCGCCAUGUAGACGAGGAUCCCCGCCGCCACGGAGUUGAGGCCGCCUUCCACCACCAGCGCCGUCGGGCUGUUCUCGUUGUACACCCGCGAUAUGCCGACGCCCACCGCGAUGCCCACCGGCGUCGUCAGGCAGAAGAAGAGGAUCAUCGUCACGAUGGACCUUGCCUUGAACUUGGCCUGCACCCAUCAUCAUCGUCAGUAAUAAGCCCAGAGGCACAUUUCAGUAAAGAAGUUUCUUUUCUGAGCAUCCAUGUGGUUUUGCUAUUUUAGACAUGUCCUUACUUGUAUCAAUGUGCAGUGAUCGCCUGCCUUCGUUUCACUUAGAGAAAAAUGGACAUGUGCUCUGCCUCAACGAUUUAGGCAUGUAACUACCUUACCAUUUAGGCAUCCUACUAACCUAUUGGAGUUAUGUAGUUCCGAAAUUGCUUCUGCUAUUUUGUGGCAGGCCACCCAAAGUUCCCCUGCCUCAACGAUUUAUGCAUGUGACUACCUUACAAUUUAGGCAUCCUAAGCUGUUGGAAUUAUGCAGUUCCGAAUCUGCUUGUGCUAUUUUAUGUCAGGGCACCCAAAGUUCCCUGCUUCAACGAUUUAGGACAUGUACUUAAUUAACUAACUUCAGUUUAGGGACCCUAUUGGAGUUAUGCUGUUCCAAAAAAACUGAUAGUGCUUUUGUUCUUUCUUCUCCAGGCCACCCGAAGUGCCCCUGCUUGUACUUUACAUGAAUUAAUUCUGUCGACAUCCAUCUCUGAUUCUCCAGCCUUUUGCAAGCAUGAUGUAAGAGCAUCAUAGUACUCUCUUUUCCCUGGCCUUUUCACUUUUGAUGGAGACCAUACAUGUAAAGUUCUAUGCAUAAAGACUACAUCCUCCCUCUGUUUGAUUAUAUUUAUUCUUUGGGAAUAGGCAAGCAAGACAGUCAUGCAACUUUGAAUCUACAUAUAUGCACAUCAUCGUUCAAACAUGGUUUAGACCAUCAAUAUGUAAAGUGGUAUUGUAAUAAAUCGUACGCGCUUACUGAAAUGUUCAGGAUUUUCUCAAUAUAUACCUGAACGAUGCAGCCACCAAGGCCCAUGCCCUCGAACAUCUGGUGGAAGCUCAGCGCGACCACGAGCGGCUUGAUGGUGUCCGGUUCCUGAGACGCGCCGAGAGAGAUGCCGAUGAUCACGGAGUGCACCACGAUACCCAGCUCAAGGACCUACAACAUUAAUUGUCGUUGAAGCAAAAGAUUAAAACCACACAAGAAUGUAUAGGUUCGUCAAAGUACCUACAACAUUAAUCUGUGGUAAAUUAGCCACCGGCCGGUUAAAUAGUUGUCACGUUUAAAAAGUUGAGACCAGUACCGAGUUCAGAAAAAAAAUUAAAAAAAAAUUGAGACAAGUAACUACCAACAAACCUGAGAGAUUACGCGAUACCGGAUGGUGUCCAUCUUGUCGUCCUCGGCGCCGCCCACGGCCGCGACGAGCGCCGCGGACCCGUGCGCGUGGCCGUGCGUCGCGUGCGUGUGCACGUGCACGUCUUCUUCCCCGGCGGCGGCGGCGGCCUGCUUCUCCUCGUCGACAACGGCGCCGCCGCCCUUCUUGGAGUGCGCGCGCGUGAAGUAGCCGGUGGCGAGGGUGUCAACGACGAGCGUGCCGAUGGCGCCGACCAUGGCGCCGAGCCCGGCGAAGGGGAAGUCCUUCCAGGGCCCGUCGGACGGCAGGCAUGGCGAGCCGAGGUUCUCGAAGGCGUCCGGGAGGAUGUGGAUGAAGCCCGUGGCGAGGAUGACCCCCGCCGCGAACGCCUUGACCAGGAAGAACACGUCGCCGUCGGGCCGCAGGCCCGGCACGCGCCGGGCCAGGACGGGGAGCGAGCAGCCCAGCGCGCCGGACACCAGGAUGGAGAAGAAGGCCGCGAUCUUCAGCGGCCGCACCCGCGCGCGGUCCGCCGCCGCCGACUCCGCCGACCCGCACUCGUCCUCCUCCCCCUCGCCGCGCACCGCCGAGACCAGCAGCAGCGCCGCGAUGGCGGCGCCGAGAAGAAUCGCCGCGCUCGGCUUCAUUGCUGCUUGCUAGGCUGCUGCGUGCGAUUUUGAACCGUGGAAGAAGAAGCUCUGCUAGCUAGCUGCACUGGACAGAUGGAUGGAAGAAGACGAAGCUCUGCUCUGCAGCCAGGCUAGGGCUUCGAUCUCGGUCCUAUAUAUAAACCUCGGCAAUUUUGUAAUUCGUCAACGGCGAGCCGAUGACGACAUGGAUGAGUAUAUACCGCGCCAUGUAUUACAGGACAGGCGAUUUGCCGUUGGAUUUUCCAACGGUGACGACAUGCUCGAGUACGAUUUUCUUGAUUUACUGCCGGAGUUUGGGGGGAUUUCUUUAUUUCUUUAUUUAUUGCCGGAGUUUGGGGGGGAAGUUACCCAGGAUGACGACACACUAUGGUCAGACGAGGCGGUAAUUUUGCUCGCAUUUAAGCGUUCCUAAAUUAAGCGACAGAUGUAGAGGCGCUCCGAAAAUAUGGUCGUAUUUUCGAGACCUUCCUUUUCUGAAACUCAAUAUAUAGAAGCAUACUUUCAAAACUGAUCGAACGGAACACGCUUUCGGUUCGACCGUUCAACCACUGUUUCAUCCGUCUGGUUGCAAGUGUAUACUACUCCCUCCGUAGGGUAUACAAGAACACGUUAUGCUAUUUCUGUUCUUUUAGAGAACUAUAUCUAUUUCUGGUGAUAUUCCAUCCUUUUUGGAAAUUAGUUCAUACUAGAAAUAGGACCUUCUUCAACAAUGUUGCAAUGCGAAAAAUGGCGAGUAUACCGAAAACCACUAAGUAUAGCCCGUGAUGGUUAACUUAGCUAUUUCUUAUGAGAUCAUCAAGUCUAAGGUACGUAAUGUUGUGCAAAUAUGAUUGAACACAACUACUACUUGCAAACAAUUUCAAAAAUAAGAUUUGUCGCCCAUAUAGCUAGAUGUCUGGACGAUAGAAUCUCCAAGUGAAUAAUAUAUAUGUCCUUGAUCUUCAAUUAAUUGAUAACGUAACUAAGUCCUUUCUGUAUUCCACAGGCAAUGGAUUGCUCCAAAACUUUCCUGUGGACCAAAUUACUGAGUAAUAAGGUUCUGUUAGUGUUCUCUGUCAUUUGUAGGGUAGCAUAAGAAUGCUCCAUCCUUGGGGUUGUGCUCUACGGGUGAACGUCCUCCAUUUGGCAUCGCGGAUUGGGUGUCAAACAUGCCUUAGCAUCGCUUCCUUCCUGGAGGCCCUGAUUGCCACCGUUUGGUAAACACCUUGGUGUCUGCAUUGGCGCGAUUGGGUUGGAGCCGGUGAUAGAGGUAGUGGUCGGGGUGGCUGUAGUGAUGGCACCCUAGUAAAUAUCAGCGAUUAACUCGCAAGGAUCACUGUCACCAAUCGAGUCUUUCGUAAGAGUAAAUGUUGUACUCUACUCUACUAUAAUGUAUUAUCUCAGUUCAUAAUGUUUGUUUUCAUCUCAUUGAUUUGCGUCAAAUCAACGAGCUGAUGUAGUCUAUAGGUGUGACGGACCACCAAUCGAGUACUUUUACUAGCACAAUACUCAUAUGUCGGUAGGGACUAAAAAUAUAUGUUUAAAGAAAAUGUUGCUAUUAUCUAGUAGUAUUGUCUUACUCCCCAAUCCAACAAAAAAUGUCUCAGAUUUAUCAAAAUUUAGAUGUAUCUAGACAUGACUUAGUAUAUAGACGCAUUCAAAUUUAGUCAAAGUUAAGACAUCCUUUGUUGGACGCAGGGAGUAUAUUAUAUAAUCUACUUCCUUCGUCACAUAUUAAGUGACUUUCUAUUACAUGUAUCUAGACAUAUUUUAAUAACAGAUACGUUCAUAUUUGGACAAAUUUGAGUCACUUGGUAUUAGAGGGAAUAAUUAUAUUUAUUCUUGUUUUCGUAUGUUAAUUCAACCAGUGAUGAUGAGAAAAACCGUUGUAGUUGGAAGAUAACGGGAUCACCGUGACUAAAUGAGAGUUUUAUAUAAGUCAAAACGAAGAAAUAGCCCUUUAUCCUUGGCCAGGAAGAAGGAGCCGUCGUUUUAACGCCAACCGAUCAGUCGCCGGCUGGCGGCUGUUGUAUGCAUGCAUGUCGAUACGGUGUCGACACUGCGGCGGAAGAGGAAACAGGGACGCGUGUAAACCGAGAGGAGCCGCUUUCGUUCAUCUCUUGGACGGCAGGCGCUCCGUUGCUGGUUCUUGUAUUUCUGAUUAAACCGAGGCGACGUCGAUCGGGGGCCAGCUAAGCCAGUCGUUGUUUUGUUGCCUAGAUAUACGAUGUUGCGUUACUCAAUAUAAAGAAUGUAUUUUUGGGUAUAAAGAAUGUGACCAUAUUAUUGCGUACUCCUUCCGUUUCUAAAUACUUGUCGUGGUAUGAACGGAGGGAAUACUUUAUAAACGAAUUUACUUUGCGUGGGUCCGACACUUUCAUCGUGUGUCCCAUAAAGUCAUCUCUUAUUGCGUUACCUUACAAUCAAUGGUUAGAUGAAUAAAAUUAAUUUAAAGACAAAAGAAAAACAUAUUGAGAGCAUGUACAUGUUUUGUUGUCUUAUCUAAAUGACAUGUAACACAUAAAAUACAGUUUUAUCAACCAUUAUACAUGCCUAACAGGUUCUGCUAAGUGAUGUCUAAUUGCUCGCCGGCCGCAGAAUCUUCAAUGUGGCUAACCAUGGCCGGUCAGUCAGUGUUCGUCCAAGCCUCCAAAGACUUCAGUUCACGUUCUCAAAAGGCUAAAAAAAAAAGGUCUUCGCAGAACAACACGGACAGGGGCGAUCGGGAUCGAUGCAUCCAUGGACGAAAAUGAUAUUAUUCUGGCUCGCGUGUCAUGAGUGCGAUUGCAUAGGCAAGUGGUGUACUGGAUGCAGUAUGAGCCGGUGCAAUUUUACUUGCCAAUUUUUUAUUGACCGGCAGGCAUAAAUAAAUAAAGCUCAUGCACAUUGUGCCUCCCUUUGGGAAAGAUGCUAGCCAGCGGCCGUCCAAGUACAAGUGGAAGCAACGUACCGUCCAAGAUUCGAGCGAGCGUGGACUCUUGUGCAGUUGAUGGCCUAUUGUCCUCUCGUUAAAGACAUCUUCGAUUCUGCACUACUGCCCGGCUUUACAAACCAUCUUUUGAGUUUAGGGGCUUAGGGAAGAUCUUUUGGGUCAGCACAUGCAUGGAUGGCGAAACUUUGCUAGAAAGCUAGCUAGCUUUUCUUUUGUUUGAUGCUACCAAGAGCAUCUCCACUCCACUCGGCCCUCUCAUGUGACGUCCGGCUUGCCAUAUUUUGGCCAUACGGGCAGGUGCCGACGUAAAGGAAAAUUUGGAGACCUGCCGCGUCUCAGUCGGACUCCGAUAAUAAAUUAGAAGCAAAUUUAAACUAGACGACAUUUCAUUAAAUUAUGCGACAUUUCAUCAAAUUAGGCGACAUUUCAUUAAACUUGCGAUAAUUUAAAUAAUUACAAAAAAGACCUAGUCGUCUAGGUGGUUAAUCCAAUCGUCUAGGUGGUUAAUCCAGUCAUCGCCAAGUCGCCGUCGCUGUCGAAGUUGAAGCCAGAGUCGAGGAUGAUGACUCCCGUCUCCUGCUUCACCGGCGCCAGUGCCGGCUUCGCCGCCUCCUUCGCUGCCUCGUCGGCUAGCUAGGCCUCGACCUCAGCCUCGGAGGCGGCGACGCUCCGUCGCCUGCAGCUCCACCUCCUCCCUGCUGGCGCGCUCGGCAGGGCGCGGACCCGGGUACUCCUUCGGUCGGGGUCGCCGCGGUGCUGGAUGGCGGCAGACUCGUACUCCGGAGGAGGCGCCCACUCCUCCGGCUCCGGCUUCGGCCGGACAAGACGGAGCAGGCAGCGGGGCGGCGACGCGGUCGACCGUGCUCGGGCCGAGGAGUAACCGAUGAGCCGGGGUGCUCGCCGCCGAGGAGGACCACGAGGAACCGAAGCCACCGUCCAGGUAGCGGCGGCGUCCGGCCGGUGGAGGACGGAGGGCCGUGCCUCCGUCGAGCCGCGGCUGGUGCGGGUGAGGACGUCGUCGAUGGCGCCCCCCCGCCCCAUUGAUGUUGGUCCGCACUGUCGGGUGCGGUGCAUCAUGGGCGGCGCGCUGGUGCUUGGCGUCGAAGAGACCGGCCCAGGCGGUGCCGGUCUCGCGAUUCCGUUCCACCGACGCCGGCUGCGCCGGCGUCAGGGCAUGGAAAAAAUAGUCCCAGAUGAGCUCUCGUCGGCGUGCCCUGACGUCAUUAUGACUAACCAUGUACUCGACUUGACUAUACCCGAUACGGCCCAGCUGGGGCCCCACAAGGAAGCCUACUUCGACUCCAGGAGUCUACAUGCCGAGUCUUGUGAUUCAAGAUAAGGAAGAUUAAUUAGAGUAUAUCUUCCCAUUGUAACCAACUUGGACUCUACCUGAGACCUGAGUUCCUGCAUAUAUAAAGGACCAGGAGGGGGAGCCAAGAUGACACCCCCAAUUUAGAUACAAAUCGCCUAGACCCACUCGACGACUCGGUGCCUCCAGACUCAGCGGCACCCCAUUGUAAUCGACUCAUCAAUAUAGAUCCGACAAGAUGGACGUAGGGGUAUUAUCUCAUCGAGGGCCCUGAACCUGGGUAAAUCGUGUCCCUUGUGUCCUUGUUAGCUGAUGAGUUCGCCAACACACACUCGAAAUCUUUCCUUGAUACAAGUCCCUCAAUAUGGACAUUGUCGAAGUUACAUCUUCGUCAUUGGCGCCGUAUGUGGGAAAGACGUGUGUUGGAAACACGACCUCGGCGGUUUCAGAUCCAGUAGAACCAUCAUCGGCUCAGGCGGAGUCGACGAUCCUUGAGUCUUCUGCCGCUCACCUCCAGUCCAACUCCGCAGUCUUGGACAAGCUUGAUGCCUGCCUGGACCUCAUAUUCGGCGAGUUCCACGUCCGAUCCGGUAUCCUUCGACUACCGUGUCCGACUCCCUUAACUCCGGAAGAAUUGCCUCUCCUUUCUCCUUCAGAGAAAGACCCGUCGACAGACUCAUCGGAGCCACUCAAGGAAGCAGAGCAAGUCUCCUCUUGGACCUGCUCUGAUUCUAAAGAUGAUCCAUCCUCACGUGCAGAUAGCCCCGUCCCUAGCGACGCUGGCGACCGCUCGGAACAAGGGAGUUGCCAUGACAACCUCGCCUUGCCGGGUUCACCCGACGAAACAGAGCAGGUUUUCCCUAGGAACCUACUCCGAUUCUAAGAGCAAUCCACCCCAGCCUGCAGAAAGCCCCAUCAGAGGCGACGCCGGCAACUGCUCAGAGCAGGAAAGCUGCAGAAGCAGCAGCGAUCUUGCGCCCAAGUGUGCCAUCGCUCAAGUCUUCAUGACAAAUCCCGUCGCCCCAAAGCAGACUCCCCCAGCUGCGAGUGCAUCCGCAAGUCUACCGGCUGGAUAUUCUGCAACAGAGAAAGCUCGAGUCCAGGCAGCUCUUAAGUCGGGAGUCCUCAUGAAGGAUCCCACCACCGCUGAGUUGCAAUUAUAUGCCAACUCUCUUGCCAGGGCCCAACGUGACCUGAACAAAGAGAAGGAGGAUUUCGCCAAGAAGCAAAAGCUUGAAGCGGAGAGGCUGAAGAAACUGGAUGAAGAUAUCUAGGCACGCAAAAGAACUCGCUCGGGUUCACUCAGCGACUUUGAUGGAGCAACUCCUCCUAGAGCUCUCCCCAGACGAAACAUCUCGCGUCGUGAUCACACGACCCGAAACCUGGCUCCAAGCUUCAUGUCGGUUGACGACCAUGGCGAUAUGAUAUCAGAAACCCGAGAGGUUGUCUUGCUUGCAGUCAAUACCUACCUACAAACAAUCCAGCCGCCUGACAGUGACCCGCGCUUGCGGCUUCACAAAUAGAUUCUGGAAGGAUUGAAUAGGACAGGGGCUUCUUGUAUCAGCCAAGAUUUCAACAACCGAAGGCUGCCGCGGGACAAGACUCCAUCCCGCCGUGAAGGAGAAAUCCAGCACGACCUCGACCCGCCUCCACGAGGCCGCAGGGAGCGUGACUCGCACCCAAGGGAAACACUGGGGUCUCCCCGGGACGCAAACCGCGAUCGGCGAGACAGGUAUCGUGACUAGUCGCCGGACUCCGAUCGCGAGGCUGAGACAUGUGGAGUGCCGUGCUUUAGCCGUCGCAUCCGCCAAUCUAGGAUGCCCAGCAAUUUCAAACUGCCGACCGAUCUAGCCAAGUAUGACGGCACACAAGAGCCCAAGACUUGGUUGGAAGAUUACCUCACCGAGAUUUGCUGCCAAGGCGGUUCUUGUACUACCGCCAUGCAAUGCCUGCAGCUGCAACUCAAAGGCCCUGCACGCACGUGGCUAACCGGCUUACCACGAGACGACAUUGACUCAUGGGAGGAGCUCGUCCAAGCAUUCACCCGCAACUUCAGGUCCGCGUACAAACAACCCGUCUUCCUUGAGCAACUUCGAGCCUGCAUUCAAAAAGAAGGAGAAUCUAUCCGUUCGUACAUCCAGCGCUGGACCAACACCAAACAUGCUUCUGAGGAAGUCUCUGAUGAAAGCGCCAUCGACGCCUUCAAACGAGGACUCCGACGAGUCGAACUCAAGGAAGAAUUGGGUCGUGUCUGGCCCAACCAUCAGCUACCUGAUGGAAAUCGCCAUUCGAUAGGCUGACGGUGAAGACUCAGUUCGCAAUGAACGCCACCGAUCUCUAGAAGAAGAGGGCGAUCGCGGUCACGAUCGAAGGAUUAAGCGCAAAAACCGAGCUUUCGAAGAGUCACGCCCACCUGAUUUCAUCGCAGCCGCCUCUCCGUUAGAUUUUGGCUCUCGGGAGAAUGGAAAUCGCGGUGGAGGUUUUCGAGGUGGUGAGAAGCGCAAGCAACAAUGGCAGAGAAAAGGGAACCAACCCACCCUCUCUCAACAGCUAACUUCCCCUUGCCCGUUUCACGUGUACAGGAAUGAGCAAGGCAACAUCAAGCCAAGUCAACCCCUAACCGAGUGCCGGCGUUUGAAGGAAUUACAGGCUGAGUUUGCCAGGACACAACAGUCGGCAACCAGCGCUGGCUUCUCACAAUUACCUGGGAUGCUUCCAUACCCUAACGAAGGAGUCAAUGAACCCUUGCCGCCUCCCAUACCAGGAGCUCUAGCCAUCGGUGCUCCUCCUCCUCCUCCGCGCCCAGCCAGUUUCGCCGGCGCAGUGCACCCAGUCGCACUUGCACCGCCACCAGAAGCGCCGACAACGGUCGCCAGUUCAUAUCCGACUCUGGUCGGUCACAUCUGCAUGAUUCAAAAAGGGAAACCCACAAAUCGGGUCCAAAAGUCCAUAACUCGGCAGGUCCAUAUGGCCGUAAGGUCACCUCCCUCUUCAACGGAGCACCUCGACUGGUCUGAAGUGGAGAUCACGUCCUCCAGAGAAGAUCACCCACCCUGCAUCCCGCAACCGGGAAACGCAGCACUGGUGCUCGACUCACAGAUCGGGGGUUACAUGCUAAACAAAGUGUUCAUCGACGGCGAAAGUGGGCUAAACAUCAUCUAUGCCGACACCCUACGAAAGAUGAACCGCUCAACAACAAAGCUGGCUCCCACAAAGACAACCUUCCAUGGGAUCAUCCUAGGGAAAGCAGCCACUCCACUGGGCAAAGUUAGCCUUGACGUGGUGUUCGGCACACCCGACAACUUCAGACGCAAAAGACUCAACUUCGAAGUGGUCAACUGGACAUCCCAGUACCACAUGGUCUUGAUUCGCGUCGCGCUAGCACGCUUUAUGGUAGUCCCGCAUUACGCUUACCUUAAGCUCAAAAUGCCAGGACCCAACGGCGUGAUAACUAUCUCUGGAAGCUUCCUGCGGUCCGAUCACUGCGACCUUGAAUUCCAUAAAAUUUUCGUGUCACCUUUUGCGCAGGACCAGGCUGGCCAGGCCUACUUCUUAACAGACGAUGACCAAAAUUCCGUCCUUAAGAAAAGAACCAUUGAGGCCACAGGCGGUGUAGACUUGAAGACAGAGGAAGCACAUGCCUCUUCAUCAAAGGAGGCCAACGCUGGCUCAGCCAGGAGCCCUAUGAACUAAGGGGUACUGGCUCGCUGGGCUCCCCCAAUCGCACCAACGGGAGCCCCCCCACCCCCUAGCAGGCGCACUAAAACAACGAGCACACCAAGCCGGCUUCGCAGCCCAUGCAGUGUAACUCAGAAGACGCCUGCCGAAGAGUGAGUCAGUUCAAUCACAUACCUGCAAGCUCAUCCACGCCUCGACAUGGUUGUUCAGCCAACUUGACUGCGGGAUAUGAGAAUCAAAAACCUCCCCCUCAGACUCCAAUCCAGAGCCGGGGACUCAAGAAGUAAGGCGAAAAACGCCACGCAGUUGCGUCGCCAAUGCGCCAGGCUUUUUUGCUUGAUUUAUUUUUAGUUUCUCAUCUAUUUUUCCUCUUUUCUCUGAAUUUUUAAGUACCUUCUUGUACCAUCGGUAGGUAAUAAAAAAUAUUUAUGUCCCUCUACUCAAAGUCUUCUCCUUUUACUUGCCUUGUGUAACAUCCCAUAAUUUUCCAAUUCUGGAAUGUUAAAUAAAAUAAUUAUUUUAAUGAAAAUAUUGCUUUGGAAAUAUUUUGGUUGUGAAUUUCUGAAGGAUUUGAAAUUUUUAGGACUUAUUUAAAUUUUUCCACACCAUGUUUGAAUAUUCAAUAAAAGAGUGGAUUAAUAUGACUAUCCAAAUUAUACAACAUGGUUGGGACAUUUAUAUAAGUUCAAAGUAUUUCAAUUGGAACCAUUUGCAUAUUAUGAUUUUAUCCGAACUAUUAUUCGCAUUUAAUAAAUCCUAUGUUCUUUUUAAAGGUUUUACUAGCACACUAAGUUUCCAAUUUGGAUGCCAUGACCAUUUGAGAGCAUCGUUGGAAUACUUAAAUCGAUUAGAAAUGUUCUCCAACAUUUAUUUAAAUGUUAAAGAAAGGGAAUAAUAUGAUUUUCCCAAAUAUAUGGUUGGAAAACAUAUAUAAUGAUUCACCUAUGUUUCUCUCAAUAUUUGCUUUGUCGUGUUCAUUUUGUUUUCGAGAGGAAACUAUCAAAUAUUCGAGAAGAGGAUAACGUGACAUCCUCAUGUGCAAAUGUUAUUCGAACAUUUAUUCCAUUAUUGAGAGUGGGAUAACGUGACUUCCCAAACAUAUAUAGUUGGAAACAUCUGCGGUGUUUACAUGGUUUGUGAUUUGGUGUGAUAAAGCCAUUUGAGAAUUUUAUUGAACCAUAUAAUUAUUAUAACAUGUUAUUUGGAGUUCAACCCAAUGGGGUAUUUAACUAAGAAAGGAUUUUAGUGCAAAGUAUGCCAACCCAAUAUUUUGUUGGAGUUUAAACUAAUUUAUGAAAAAAAGGUUUCAUAAUAUAAUUGAAAACCUAUUUAAUGUAUUACUUAUAAAGCCCUAAUGACGUUUAUAUAAGCAAAAGUAUUUUUACUUAUUUUAUUUUGAAAGGAUUCAAGUCCCAAAAGUUCACACUUUGGAGGAUUUGAAUUUACGAAUUUACUACAGUUUAUUUGGACUUAUUUGGAGUUAGGAAUCAAAAGUUAUUAAUAAAAACAGAAAUGGAAAAAAAAAGGAAAAAAAAAGAGAGAAUGGACCGACCCAACUGGGCCGGCCCAUCUCCACCGAGCGCCCCAGCGAUGAGCACUUCCUACUGUGCAUGUAAGGAAACCAUUCUUUCCGUAUUUUCUUUCUUCGAUUUCUUUCCUUCCCGCGCGUCUCUCUCCGAAAGAAAACCAUCCCAUCAAUUCUCACCAUCCCGGGAACCCAUUCAGGAAAUCAAUUUGAAGUUUUCUCUCAUAAUCGUAGUUUUCAAAAGAAACGCCCCGAAUGUCGGCCGUCGACAUCCACGCCCGAUCUCCCUCCUCGGCCACUAUAAAAGGAUUUCACGCACGUCACUUUGAGCCUUUGCUUCUUCUCCCCCAAUCCCAUGUAGAAAGUUUGGCCCCGAAAUCUCUGUACAACGGGCUACAUCGACGUCUUCCUCCGGCGGUCACCGCCACCAUUGUUGCCGGUGAGAUCACCCCGAACCUCCGUUUUUCGAUUCCUUUCACCGGUAGAGUCAUGUGACCCUUACCUACCUUUGUGACAAGGUUUCGUGACCUCUUGAUGCCGUUGGCCGCGCCGUCCCCGACCCCAUGCCAAAGCCGCGCCCGGAGCUCCGCCCAUCGCCAUCCGGAGAUGCUACGACCGUGCAAGCCGCGUCACGGUGUAUGCCUCGACGUCUUCCACGGCCCCAUCGAACCCUACGUCGACAUCAUCGCCGUCCUCCUUCAACUCUGGCGAACUCCGUGUCUUUUCCGGUGAGCAACUUUUCAGCCGCAGCAGUUUUGAUUAGCCAUGUUUAGAAGCCCAUAUCUUUUGAUCUGUGUAUCAUUUUUGGCCCAAUCUUUCUGUUAUAGUUAGAGAACGUCCACCUCUCUAGACCAGACCAGAUUGUAUACCCCGUCUCCAUGAUCUUCAGUACGGCAUCUUCGUUGGAAAUUGCCAUUCACAAUAUGCUGUUUCUGCAUUAGCCACCUUUCGAAAUUCAUAUAAAUUGUUCCAUUGAUCCGUUUGGUUCCAAACAUUCUGUAGUUCAUCAACUAGAUCAUGUUCUACACAUUAGUGUACACCUUGCACAACUUAGGAUGCAUCUACAGAGGUGCAUCUUCAAUCAAAAGUCGUAUCUGUUAACACUGUCACAUCAGUUAGCUGUUUUCCGAAGCCUAUAUCUUUUGAGCCAUUACUUCAAAUUGUAUGAUUCUUUCUGUCAUGUCAAGACCAAAUCCAAAUAUAAAUCCUAGACCUAUUUUAACACCUUUAAAAUUUCAUCCACGCUAGUGCAUCGUCAUUGCAAAACAGUACCUUCAGCAGUUUUCCACACUUGGCCAAUUCGAAGCCUUCAGUUACAGAAACUUUGUUAUAGAUUAGCCUGUUUUGUAAGCCUGUAUAUUUUGACUCACACCUCCUAUUUAGGUUAGAACAGUGUCUGUUGAAAUUUUGUUAGAUAUAGUUUAAUUCAUCCCAUUGGCCCACUGUCUUUUGAUGCCAUUAGUACCAUUACAUUUUCAGUAGAAGUUAGUAUCUUUAAUCUGUCAGAAUCAGACUAGCCAGCUUUGCAAGCCAGUAGCUAAUUCUCCGUAGAUCCUUUUGGGAUGAGACUUGUUGUGUUAGCAAUUAAAAUCUUAAUACUAUGCAGUAGUAUACUUUUUAUCCCAUGUUCUGCCAUUUAGCGCCAUUUGCCAAACAGCCAAAGUAUCUAAGUUAUAAAAAUUCCUAUAGACUUAAAUUCCAGACUUAGCCACACUAGUCCAUGCCCAACCAAACUUUAAAUCUAUUAACACUGUCUUAUUGAUUAGCAUUGUUCCAAAACCCAUACAUGUUGAUCCAUAUUUUCAAACCAGUUCAUUCUUUCUGUUGUGACAAGAGUACACCCAACUCUUGAUUCUGGACCACUUUGAGCACCUUUUUAAGUUCACCUACCAUAGCCCAUGACCCCUAGAAAACUGUAUCUGUUAACAGCCAAUGACUUCACCGUUCCAACUCCGCUUUUAUCCCAACCUUGUUCCUACCUCUUAGAUCUAUGCCUAGGACAGCCUAACAGUAGUUAGGUACUAUUUAAUUUAAACUUCGUAUAUUGCUUUGGUUCCUUAUUUGGAGUUAUGAUUUGGAGUUCUCGAAUAGUUAUUUAUUAUUGAUUUUCGUUCUUCGCGAUAGAUUAUACGGAGUGCGGUAACUGUGAGUAUCGAAAAGAAGAAGAAUACAAAGACAAUAAUCAGGCAAGUUCACUUUGAUCAUUUACCCAUUAUUCUAUUAUGCACUAGAUUUUAUCAGUUGCAUUGUUAGGAUUAUUAUUGUAUCUAUGCUAGCUAUGAUCUGUCCUAAUAGUAUAGAAAACUUUGUCAUGACCUUCACCACCAAUUGCCAUCGUAGUAGUAAAAUGCUAUGCUAUGAUAAUAUACGAGGGUGGUAUUAUUACAAUGUGAUACUAUUGAAUUACAAAUAUAGUUUUCCUAGUGUAUAGCAAAACAAGUAAUUCAAUGAACCGUCCUGAGUGGGCUGCUUUGAGUAUUCGGAUGUCGUGACGUUAGGUCCAUUUCUAUGGGUCCCUCUGAGUCGAGUCUCCGUGGAUUCGGAGAUGGAUCGUCCAUGGACGUCUCUCCUGUGGAUUCGGGGAGCGCCUUCGUCACAAUGUGGGAUGCCACCCGGGAUAACCAGAGACUGGACUAGUUUCAUGUUUAGUAGCUUCCAGUACAACCACAUGGUAAUAUGGGCUCUGCCUGGAUGGAGUAAGAAAUGUUUACCCAGAUCCGAGGGAUUGUAUUGAGGUAUUUGUGUAGGUGGGAGCGCAGGUCCCUCAGGUGGUUUGGGUGAACAUGUUCUGAAAAUUCUUGAAGUCGAUGCCGUUGCUACUCCACCCGGAGGACAGCAAGGGAUUAACACGUCGAAUUCUUGUGGGGAAUGUGUACAACCUCUCGAGAGUGUCAAACUAAGUACUUAGCCGUGUCCCCGGUUAUGAACAAUUAUGAGCGACUAGAUAUUGGGGCUGUAAGGAAGGUCUCACUCAUUCCAAUUUCCUAAUAAAAUGAAUGGUUUCAACUGGGUAGGAGCAUUGAUGUUUCUACUCAAUGUGCAUAGGUUAAUAGGAGCAUGGGUGUUUCUACCCCGUGUCCAAUAAAAUUCAAAACUAUUUUGGGUAAAAAAAUGAUAGGAUUAAACAUUGACGCUUUUAUGUAAAUAGCCAAACCCCCACCUUGCCAAAUAUUGCAUGUACUUGAUAGGUUCUGUUAUAACCCUUUGGUGAACUUGCCAAUACAUUCAAUGUAUUGACCCCCUAGUGGCUGCAACGUUUAAAUGUUGCAGGUGAACCAGGUGAAGUGUGAGGUACGAAUUGAUAGGGUUGCGAGUUUGCAUUCCGUGAGGUACGAAUUGAUAGGGUUGCGAGUUUGCAUUCUAACAUGUUUCGACUGUGGAGUUGUUAUGGGACUCCUGUAUCUUCUGCCUUCCGCUGCAAGAUUUUAUUUUCUUUUGGAGAUAACUCAUGGAGUUAUGCAAUAUGUAAGGUACUAUUAAAUUAUGGAUCAAUGCGAUGUAAUAUACUUUUGACCUUUGUAUCUUGAUAUUACAUCUUGAAACUAUGUGUGCUAGCGAGUCGAUCCAGGGACUAGCACUGUAAGCACAGAGAUCGAACCCUAGUAAGGGGGAGGAUCGCUUCACCUUGUUGCGGUCGCAUCACACUCAGAACUGAGAGAUCGAUCCCAAAACUUGUCAUUGGACGCACCCGACACUCGGGGGCUGCGUCCAAUCGACCACAAACUUGUCAUUGGACGCACCCGACACUCGGGGCUGCGUCCAAUCGACCACAAACUUGUCAUUGGGCGCACCCGACACUCGGGGGCGACGUCCAAUCGACCACAAACUUGUCAUUGGACGCUCCCGACACUCGGUGGCUGCGUCCAAUCGAUCGCAAACUUGUCAUUGGACGCACAUGACACUCGGAGGCUGCGUCCAAUCGACCACAAACUUGUCAUUGGACGCACAUGACACUCGGGGGUUGCGUCCAAUCGACCACAAACUUGUCAUUGGACGCACCCGACACUCGGGGGCUGCGACCAAUCGACCACAAGCUUGUCAUUGGACGCACCCGACACUCGGGGGCUGCGACCAAUCGACCACAAGCUUGUCAUUGGACGCACCCGACACUCGGGGGCUGCGACCAAUCGACCGUAAGCUUGUCAUUGGAUGCACCCGACACUCGGGGGAUGCGUCCAAUUGACCCAAAAAAAUUCAUUGGCCGCACUUGACGCUCGGGGGCUGCGUCCAAUUGACCCUAAAACCUCUCGUUGUACGCACCCGACAUUCAUGGGUUAUCGCGUAACAAACAUCAGCAAAAUCAUUCAACGGUCGGCAGUCUCCAAUUACGCAAAAUUGGGAUCCUGAUGUUUUCUCAUACAAGAUCAAAGAAAUUACAGAACAAGAAGGUGUGACCUCUUCAAAGAUGCUAACAACUUUCAAUUACAAAAGAUUUCAAAGUAUUUGGGUCUCCACAUGACUGCAAACCAGUCAUGCACAGACCUAGGGGCUACUCCCACCGGGAGCGCUGGUCGCGCACCCGGUAAAAAUACUACUCAGGCAACUACGUCUACAUCCAUAACGAAUAUCAAAGUCUACUCUACUCCAAGGCCAUAAGAGUCACCAACUGACAUGCCGUGUUCUCCAUCAUGUCGUAAACCGGUCCAAGCUGAGCAUCGUCUGGAACAUAGGAGGGAGUCAAAUGUAGGGUGUCCAGAUUCAAUGAGGGGUAGCGAAGACGAACAAAUGAGAGGGCUAGAACAGCCCCCUCCACCAAUUGUUCAUGAGUACCCCCUCACCACUGCUCCUUCGCAAAAUCUCUCGAUCAUUCCUUCAGGUUAACAGGAACAGGAAGCUCCGAAAACAAGUUAUGGUGCACCUCAGUCAAACAGUGGUUGCAGGACUUCAAGCAGACCACAGCUCUUGCAACUCGAUCCUGCAGCAGUGCAAGGGUAUAACCCUUGUCACGUUCGACCAGAAGGAUGGGGUCUCUGAACUAGAUCAUGCUAAAGCAUCAAGACGACUUUUUACGCGUUCAGCUUCAACAUAUGGUUCUGGCAUCAUAUCUGCAAAAUAUGGCGCGUCCAAAUCAGCCAAAAUUCAGUUAACUCAACAAUUUCAAGCAGAGGACUCAGCCGUUACCUCGCAAAUCUGAACUCAGCUUCACGAUUUCCCCAAGAAGGAAAUCUUCUCGACCUGACGCGGCCCGAUUCUCUGACUUAAGCAAGGAGAUCUCCUCCCGUGCUUGCGCAAGUUGGUAUUCAACAUGUCCCAAACGGAUAUGCAUAACCUCGAGUGCGUCGGAAGAAUUCAUCUCUUCCCGCGAGACAUAAGUGCUAAUCAGCAGGACAAAUCCCUUGCGCUGGUUAGUACGUUCGAGUCCGCACUCGGUUAUUUAUAUCCGACCGCGAGGCACUCCCAUCGGGAGUACUUGAAAUCCGACUUAAAUUUGACUUCCACAAGUCGGAAUUCGACUCGGUGCUGAUUGGCAAGUCAUAGCGUUCCAUUUCCAAAAAAGAAGGGGAGCAACAUCGCCAAGAAAUUCAAGGAUAUCAAAUUACAACUUUGAGUCCGGUCGCCACUACACACAGUCGCAACUGAACUCGGGGGCUACUCCCACCGGGAGCGCUGACCGCGCACCCGGUAGAAUAUUCUUUACAAAAAAUAAGAACUACGUGACUAUCUACUACGAGGUAUGGUCUCCUCCUCGGCUGCUUCCCAUUGCCGGAUCAUCUGCAGCGCCGCCGCCUGCCCAGCCUCUAUGAACGACCUUAUACCCUGGGUGAGAGUAGCCGGUAGUGUAGCAACUCGCCAGAAAUCCAACUAUGGGCAGCUGACUCGCACAAAUGCAAGGGCAAUCUAGACACCAUUCGGCCUUCACCAGCUGGAGUCGAAUCAAUUCCUUCAUCUUCUCCUCGUCGUGAAACUUCACCAUCAGGCUGCCCAGUUUACGAGGCACCUUUUCCCGUGGCCAUAAGGCCCGAUGAGUCGAAGCUAGCAUGUCACGGCAGGAGGUGAAGUACCUUUUGACUUGCUUGAUCCACUCGAUCAACAGCAUCAAGUCAUAGCUCCUCGACUGAUCCAACCAAAAGGGUGAUGGGUCAUGUCAUCGGCGAGCUUGAAUGGCAGCAUUCACUCCGGCCUUUUCAUCAUCAGGGUCGAAGCGAACAGCUGCACAGAAGACGGCAAGAUUACUUUGCAAACUGACACGAAAGGCAAAGUCUUGCGAUCCUACACCUUGGAUUUGACCGCUCAGGUUACGAAGCUCUCCAAAGACAAACUCUUCCCCGUUGGUCGCAGCUUUCAGGCUAGACUUGCUGCUUUGAGCCUCACCCAGCGUGUCACGCUUCAGCUUAGCGAGCCGAGCCUCAACUUCUCGUAACUGCUCUGGGGACAGAGUAGUCCCAGCCUGACCCUUUUUGCUAGGAUUGGCUGGAGCAUCGUUGCGAGAGGCUGCCUCUGCAGCUGGAACCGAGUGACUUGACUGUCCUUUUUCACUCUGCGCGGAAAAGACUCAAGUUACUUCAGCAUUUAUCCUAAAGAACUCUUUCUGGGGUGCAAAUAAAGAUCUUGGAUUUCUUUCCAAAAAAAGGCUCAGCUAGAGCAGUUCUUUACAAAGCUAAAAGAACAGAAGAAGAAGAUUCACAAAGGAGAAAGAGAAUCAAAUAUAUCUAGUGAAAGAUCACCCACCUCUGGGCCGCCGGAUCAAGCAAGGUUCAUCUCCUCGAUUGAUCUACGAGGUUGCCGCAACGAGAUCUCAGCCAGCUCUUUGCCCUUUCCCAUAAGAGGCCUUAGGCUGACCGUGCCGCCUGCUCUCGAUCGAGUUGAUUGAGAGGCUACCCGACGGAGAGUGUCUUCCUUAACGCCAUGCGCAAGAGCAAGCGUGAAGAAUAAUUCAGCGUCGGUCGUCGACCGAUGCUGGCGGUACUCCUCUACCGGGUCUUGACUUGAAGCAAAGAAGCCAACGAGGCCAUUCAGCGACUCCGGCACGGACCCAUCAGGAGACAUCUUCCUGAUUACGGUAGUCAAAAUGUUCGUCACUUGCCGAAGCUUGCCCUAGGCUUCAGCAUUGAUGACUUCGACGUUUUCUAGAACCUCAUUGAAGCUCCGUCUUCUCUCAUUAAAUUGAACCUUAGCAGAGGCAUCAAGGACUCCUGCAAAAGGAUAGAGCAACGGUCAAAUUUUACACGAGAAGGUAAAGCCACUUGGGUAACAGAUUCAAACGCUCACCAGCAACAGAGCGAGUAACACUUUCGAGUCGCUCGAUCCAAAUCUUUUCCCGCUCUUUCUCCGUGGAAGUACGAGAGUCUAUACGUUGCUGGAGACGACUCUUUUCGACAGCUGCUUCCUACAGCUCUUGGCGACACUGAUCCAGCUCUGCUCGAAGUCACUCCCAAUCUGCCUUCAUCUCCUUAGACUCUUCAAUAAGAGUUGUAAUGGAGUGGAUGAUCGGCUAAAAACAAAUAGCAGUUUCAAAUUAUUUCUUGAGCAUCACUCCCACCGGGAGGCAAAAUAAUAGCAAAAGACAAAUUUGCUCACGUGCUGACUCGACGCGGGAGUCAUCGCCUGAGGAAUGCUCGACUCAUCUGGUCGACUCCUUUUGCUCGUUCCAGAAGGAUUGGCCGCUGAGGCUCCUUCUGUGUGAGCUGCCUUUUCCUUAGUCGGCUGGUUCGACCCUUUCGAGUCAUGACCAGUCGAUUGAGUCUCGGGGGCUUUUUUGCCGUCGACUGAGCCACCAGUAUGGCCAGGCAAGAAAUUUUUAGAGGUUUUGAUAAAAUCUCUAGAAUGCUGAAAUAAGAUUGCCAAAAUAUUCACUUGGCACGGUUGAAUUGAGCAAAAAGGCCAAAGCGACGGGCUGCGACUGGCCCGUCAGACUUGGUCCUCUUGAACGCGGGUACAGAUACCGAUGACUCGACAUUCGGGUCCCUCGAGCCUUUUGGAUGGGUCUGUACCGGCGGAUCAUCAUCCUCUCUGCCGCGCUUCUUUGCCGGUGGAGAAGCGCUGCUCGGCUCAUUACUGGGUCCCUGAAAUCAAAGCCACAAUCAGAAAUAAUUCAUGUCAAAGACGGCAGGGUUUAUCGGAUGUUUCGAUGAUCACCUUUUCCCAAGGCCUGUCGGGUCCAUAGGGAGCCACUGGAGGGUCAAUCUUGCAUAGCUCUCCGACUCGCCCAAGUCAGUAAGCCGUCGAACUCGUCGACACACUUCAGUCGAACGAAAUUCCACGGUACUAAUCCGGGUUGGGUCACGAAUUCCCUGAUAUGCCCACAUGGGACGAGCACGAGCCUGCAGAGGCUGAAUUCUUCUCCGGAUAAAAGCGGCGAUGAGGUGAAUUCCAGUCACCUUCAGCUGAGGAGUCUCCAUGAGAGACAGGACUUGGGCCAACAGAGUCUCGGUCGCUUCGCCUUCUGUUCCUCCCAACUUAUGACUCCAGGCCGUCGUAUUCUUCACCUAAGCUGUGGCGAAGAAUUCGGGAAGACUGAAGCCGCGUCCUUCGGCAGGCACAUCCAUGACAUAAAACCACCUCGAUUUCCAUCGAGAAGAUGAUUCCCUCUCUCGGAGGUUGAAGAAUUUGGCAUCCGCCUGAGUUAUAAUAUCCCCACAUCCAAUCGCGUCCUUGCCCUAGCGCUGGAUUGUGAACAUUCUCUUCCAGAGACCCAUGUGGGGAUUUAUUCCAAGAAAGCAUUCACACAGCGUCACGAAGCACGCGAUGUGGAGGUAGGAGUUUGGAGAAAGAUUAUGAAGUUGGAGUCCAUAGGCCAAAAGCAAGCUACGAAGGAAAUGGUGGACUGGGAAUGCUAAACCACGAGUGAUGAAAUCGUAAUGCACCACUCGCUCUCCGUAUAUGGGGCGAGAGAUUACCUCCUCGCUGGGAAAACGCACAUGCCCCGGCCGCGUGGACAGCAACCCUUCUUCUUGCAUUCCGGCCACCCUCUCGCAAUCCACGGAGGACAGCGGCCAAGCUUCCGCACUCUUCUUGCUCUUCCCCAUCUCGCUGGGUCAAAAGACGUGAUUAACAGGGAACACGAAGGGUUUUUUGGCUAUGGAAGCUAAAGUGUUGGGCGCCUGAGCUCUGGGUGCGAGGAGGAAGAAGGGUUAAAACUAAUUUACCCCACCACCGUUUUUAUCCUUACCUUGGCAAAAAAUCCGGGAUGCACGAUCUCGGUCAUGGCCACGUGUUUCGCAUCAACCGAAAUACGAAACGGCAAGGAUGAAAGUAAGUGCUUACUUCAUGGGCACAAGAACCAAUGAGAUCAUCAUCGUGUCUUGUUUACUGUGCGAAGUGUGAUCGUUUCUCCACUGACGCACGCCUAUAGUGUGCCUAGCUGUCAGGCUAGACUGUACAUCCAGUCACAUCGGCUGACCAAAACGGCUCUUCACCUCCAGCAGGUACGUCAUCAAUGACGAAGUUUGACUCGUAUAUCAUGACUCGAAAUUAUCUUUUAUACAGGAUGACAGAGUUUAUCUUAAAGGUUGAGACUCAUCUUGAGUUUUGAUUAUGAAUACUAUGACUCUCAUUCGGGUCACUAACUGACCGACUUUUAGUUUAUAUUUGUUAAAGACUUCAUACAGUCAGCUAUUGUUCAUUAUUUACUUACAACAGUAAAAACAGGGUAAUGACCCUGACACAAAACAGUUGCUUUCAUGUAGUCGACUCAAUUGAGUCGCACCCGUUGCGUCACCUCAGUUAUUUAUGCUCAUUCGCAUAACAGUAAGCCUCUUGGAUUUCGUCCAAAGAGCCUGGAGCCGCACCAGCUGUGUUGCUCUAGUAAACCCCAUACUCAUUGCAUGAAGAUAAGCCUCAUGGGUCAUUCCAUCGAGCCUGAAAUCGUACCAGCUAUGUAUUUUAGUAAAUCCAUGCUCAUUGCAUGAAGAUAAGACCCGAAAGUUCUCUUACGGGCCUGGAAUCGUAUCCGCUACGCUAUUUCCAGUUGAAUCCAUGCUCAUUGUAUGAAGGUAAGUCCUAAAAUUUAGGCCUGGAUGUGUAUCGACUGCAUUCUUCCAGUAACAAUUCUCACUUAACGGUCGCUCCUUGAAACCAUGUUCAUUACAUGAAGAUAAGACCCAUAGGCUUUCUAUAGGGCCUGAAAACGUACCAGCUGCGUAUUUCCAGUUCAAGCAAUCUUGAUGAACGAGUCGAGUACUUAAAAACUGGAAUUUGACUAUAUAAGACCCCAGCAAGCUAAGUCGAAAUUCACCAGUGGCCAAGUUCAAGCCCAGGGACUCGAAUGCUGAUGAAAGCUAGUGUUGUAUUCGCUCUAGAGCGAUUAACUGGACUCGAUUUCUCGAGUAUCUAGGCGCCUUAAGCAUGUAUCCCUAUGUCAGAUCAUAUUGUGAAACUGCCAUCUAACAGUCAAGCACUAAUACAUCGACUCAGACAUUCUCUGAGUCGAAAAUACUUCUCAUUCGAAGUACAAAUUAAUGAAACUCCAAGUUUCGAGCAUUAUGCAAAUGGCUCAACAGAAGAAUAAGCUCAUUCUUUACGGGAAAAGUCCCUCAUCAAGUCUUCGACUCAACCAGGCACUUGGGGGCUACUGACAUGGUUAUGACUAACCACGUGCUCGACUCGAGUAUACCUGGUACGGCCCAGCUGGGGCCCCACAAGAAAGCCUAUUUCGACUUCAGGAGUCUACAUGCCUAGUCUUGUGAUUCAAGAUAAGAAAGAUUAAUUAGAGUAUAUCUCCUCAUUGUAACCAACUUGGAUUCUACCUACCUGAGUUCCUGCCUAUAUAAAGGACCAGGAGGGGGAGCCAAGAGGACACCCCCAACUUAGAUAUAAGUCGCCUAGACGCACUCGACGACUCGCUACAUCUAGACUCUGCGGCACCCCAUUGUAAUCGACUCAUAAAUACAUAUCCGACAAGCAGGACGUAGGGGUAUCACCUCAUUGAGGGCCCUGAACCUGGGUAAAUCGUGUUCCCUGUGUCCUUGUUAGCCGACGAGUUCACCAACACACACUCGAAAUCUUUCCUUGAUACAAGUCCAUAUAUGGACAUUGUCGAAGUUACAUCUUCGUCACGCCCUGUCGGCACAGGCAGGACGGACCUGCUGCCCUAGCUGAGCUGCCAACUGUGGGGGAGGCGGCAGUCCGGAGGAGAGAGGUAGCCGGCCCGCCGAAUAGCCUCGGCCUCGUCGAGGCGGAUCAAGCCAGCGAUGCUCGUCCCAGUUGUUGCCGGCCAUGGCGAGGGCGAGGCAGAGGAGGAGAGAAGGCGAGGGUGGAGAUGGGCGAGGGAGAGGAAUGGCGAGCUCUCUCGCCGGCGCUGCCUUUUAUAGGCGCCGAAUUAACCCGCUGGGGGGGUGAACGUGGUGGGAAACGGUGUUGGGAACGCGGCGCGGGUGCGCCGCAUGGAAGCCGACGAGACUGGGCGGCGGUUUGACCCGGUGACCGCCAUUACUUGCCUAAGAAGCCGAGGUGAAGCCGGUGGGCGAUUAAUGCCGAAGUCGGUGAGGGUGAUAAAAUGGCUCCGACAAGGCGGGCCCAUGCCAUAAAACGCUUCGCCGGUGCCCGCGCUUGACUCCCCGUGGGUUGGGUUCGGGCUGGGGUCGCCUGCUGAUUUAUUGGGCCGCGUUGGCCAAAUUUUGGGAAUAGGGGUGGGGUGGGGCGGCUGGGUAUGUUUUUUGGCACCGGCGCCCCAAAUUUGGUUUGGGGGGCCUUUAGGGCCGGCGGCUGGAGAUGCUCUAAUUCCACGAUAUGCAAAUCCCCAGGAACUGAAGUGAGCAGCGCGUCCAAGUACAAGAACCGUACUGCAUGUUACUCUUUUAUUUCCCACUUUUCUUUGUCCGCGGUAUUUAGCGGUCCACCUGCAUUCCUCCCCGCCCUCUGUCUAAUCUCUCUCCCCUUGUCUUCAUCUAAGCUGAACAAAAUAUUUAUUUUCCAAAAAUUCAAUUAAAAAUAAUUCUAGUGCAAAACUAUCACCAAAUCUGACCCAUUUGCUCCAUGCGAACCUCUAUAGCAUUCAAUGUGAUUAGGUUAAACUAUAUGGUGUGACAUUGAAAGACAUAUUUUUUUAUGUUUUGGAGGGUCGAUGCCAUGGGCCAUGGUGUGGAUCUGUUAGAGCUCGACGCUGUGAACCGUUGACUUCAAAAUUAAAAUAAACCUUUUUGGCGGUUGAAAUCGACGUUUUGGAAGGUCCACACCAUGGUCUAUAUGGUUGAGCUCAGACACCCAAAGCCAUGCACCAUGGCGUUGACUGUCUGAUACGUCAAAUGUUUUGCGAAAUUGCUAUGGCUUUUAAUUUUUACUGCCAGGCAAUAUGGCGUUAGCCAAGCCAGGUUAAAUGCCCCCGAGGAUGGUGUUGAGCCAAAGGGUCAAAUUUAGUUAAAUUUUUACACCAGUUCAUUUCUUUGGCUAAACAUUUAGAAGAGAGUCAUUUUUGUCGAUUUACACCUUAUCGCCAUGCUCUCGAAAAUUGAAAGAUGAGCUCUUGAUUUAAACGAUUGUCCGACCUGCAGUUUUCUCCAAGGACUAAAGCAACCUUCUGUUCGAAAAGAAAGCAACAUAAAACUGCACCUGUCAUUGAUGGCUAGCACCUCCACUGAUAGAGUGACAAUGGUGCACUUAAAAAAAAGAGUGACAAUGGUGCAAAUGUUCCUCCCGGGCGAUAGAGGUACUUUGUGCGGCAAUGGCAGUUUCACUGAGAGCUUUAGGGCUGUUUUGGUUGUCUAUAUAGGCUUUUUUUUUUUGCGGGGAAGUUGCCUAUGUAGGCUUUGGCCCGCACCCGAGUUGCAAAAAUAGGGCCGUUUGGUUGUCUGGGCCGCAUCCACGCGUUGCAUGCCAGAAUAAAAAAACACCCCUCUAGCCCACAUCUUAGAAACGAAGGGAUCAACCGUUUUUCUCCUGCCUCCACCAGCCUGGCCGCUCCGGCUCCAAUGCCGCCUCUCAUCACCUCACCGGCCGCGGCCAUGGCGACCCCAUCAUGCCUCUGCGGUCUUGCUCCCCGGGAAAUCGGGCUCAUGAGCUCUCUGUCUCUCUCUCCGUUGGUCUGUGCAGUUCAAUAGCUGCUCGCAGCGGGUGGAGCCGUGGAGGAGAUCGUCGUCGAUGUGUACCGUAGCCUCCACGCAGUGAAGGCGGAAUGGUACCAGAAAGGCCCGCCGACUCGUCGAUUAUAGUAAUUCAGGCGUGCAAUCCUACACUAGCUUAAUUCCAUGUGCAAUUGUGAUUCUAGUAAUCCAUCUUCCAGAAUUACUACAGUCACAUUGAGGUGUAGGAUAAGUCAUCUGCUGUAACCGAUGCAAUUGCAAAACUAUUCUGUGUCAGCACCAGGAUUCCAUGACCCACCCUCGACCCAUUGCAACCAUCCUCUCUUGUUUCUAAAUCUAUUGUAAAUUCAUCCUCGGAUAAUGAAAGAUCAAUAUGCUGAUUGUCAAUUCAUAUCGAUAGUUUUCUGACAAAAGAGAUGGAGGUCUGCCUAGAUGUGGACUACAAACGGGCUGAUUUAGAAAUCAAUGCCGACCUCUGAAAGUAUGAAACAAAAGGCAUCCUACUGUGUUCCUCCGGUAUUAUUUUUUUUCUUAAUUUUCCUUUUUACUCCGGCAUACAAAGUUUUAAUCCACACAUGCAAAGUUGCAUACAAAGUUGUACUAAAUAGCAACGAGUAGUUCCGGCCGGAAGAGUAUCCAAUAAACACAUUCCUCUGUGAUUUCAUUCGGUCUGCAUUUCAUAUUUCACAGUCGCAGACACGCACACUGGUAUCCUAGACUAGCACCAGUGAUUAUUUCCCUCUCCAUAACUGAUCCAUACUCGUUCUUCAAAUGAUACCGAGUCAGAGGUUCAGAGCGUGAGCCGGAGCAGCUCUCUGAACUGUAGCCUCCGAGUCUCAGUAUGCAGCGUCCUCUUCUUAUUGGGCCAGUAGGUGACCCAAACCCUCCCCUUGAUCUCCCACUCCAGGGUCUUCCCAGCCGCCGCCGCCGCCAUCCUCCAGCAAACCCCUUCCCCGUACUCAUCUCCGGCGAAUAUAACCCCGCCGCUCCGCGUGAAGGGCCUGCUGGGGCUGGUGUACCGGUUCCUGAACCACGACCUGGGCUGGCACAGCUCCAGCUUCGGCGGCUCGCUGGAGAACACCUCCCGGCCCCCGCCGCCGCCGCCGUGGAGGAACCAGCUGAGCGACGCCGUGUUCCCCUGCACCGAGUGCUCGAACUUCCACGGCCUCACGCUCCUCGUCACCGUCUCGUGCGCCGACACGCUGAUGCCGAUAGACGCCGCCGGCGCCGCGCCCAGCGUCGUGUCGAUGCCCUUGUCCGUGGCCACCUCCUGGACCGGGUUCUCCGUCGACCGGCUCACCGACAGCGACAGGAUGUCCGACUGCUGUAAUGGAGUCAGCUGCAGUGAGAUCCGCGAUGGGAAGUGCUUCUCGUCCGAUCCGUAGCCCUGCUUCGCCAUGAGCGUCUCUGACACCAGCUGGAUCACGUCGCACCUGCAGAAGUGGAGAGCACACGAUUACUCCUAAACUAAGUGCAGUUCUUGUUUAUUUAUUAUGAAUUGAAGUGAUAUUCAAAGCAGAGGUUACCUGAUGUUGUCGACGUUGACGGCGACGUCGAUCCAGUUCUCCUUGAAGGCGACCCUGUACACGAGCUGGAUGACGCUCUCGAGCUGCUGGUAGUUGAGCGAGAAGAGCAGCCUCUCGUCCUUGGCCUGCUGCAGGUGAUGAGAGGACUGGUCCAUGGCCAUGGCCACCACCGGACAGUACACCUGGACCUUCCACAGCCUGCUGGCCGACAGUGCAUAAGAGAACACGGCGAAGCGGGCCGGCGCCGGCGGCCCACCCCCGCCGCCUGACCGGAGAGCUUCCAUGGCCCAGUUGGUCACGCCGAGGUUCAGAGAUCGCAUCCACUGCUCCUCCAGGUUGGACCCCAGGGACAGCAUCAGCGUUCUCGCGGCGCACCGCAUCUCGUCGCGCGCCAGCUGCGGGCUGAUGACACCGAUGAACUCUCGCCGGAGCGGGGACGGGGCCUCGUAGACGCAGACCAGGAGCGCCAGCGUGAGGACCGACAGGCUCAGGAUCCUGCCUGAAUCUUCAGACAUGGGAACAUCCGGCAACCGGAGGAUUGAUCUGCUGCUAGAGUAAGGGCCAUACUUCAGGACCCCGCAGAUGAUCUCAAGCAAGAACUGGACGGUAACGUCUGUGGUAUUGUUAUUUGCCGGUUUCAGCCUGGAGUAAUGGGAGCUCCAGAGCGAGACGGGGUCAUGGGUAUCUCCACAGACGGAGAAACAAAAAAUGAUUGGAUGGGCUUCUUCAGGUUUCCUGCUGACUACGAGGUUCAGUGACUCGUUUGUGGAUGGCGAAUUGCAUAUUUGAAGGGAGUAGGAUUUUUCUCCCCUCCAUUGCUUGGGGAGGCUUGUGAUCCACUUCCAGAUGUCAGGAACAGAGCCAGAAGCCAUGAUCGAGGAGGAGCUAGCUCUGUAGUCUCUAUGGGUUUCUUGAUCACCCCUGUCCAAUAAAUAAAUACAACAAGGCACAAGGUAAAAAGACAGGUACUGCGAAAGUCAGAUGAUUUGGAACAAUAAGGUAAGUUGAGCACAACUAAAACUCUAGUUUCCUAUGAUUGCGAAGCUGCUUUUGAAAGAUAUGAAGAUUCAGUACUGUCUAAUUCAGCACAUUGUUGAGCAGUGCAAGGGAGGCUUUUGCUACUAAUGGUAUUGGUACCCAAAAGCUCAAAAGAUGAAACUCAUGGAGAAAGAUGACAGAUCAACAGUCAAGAGAAAAGAUGAAAGGCAAGUUAUAUCAAGUAUGAACCCAAAAUCUCAAUCACUAUUGCCUAGGUAAGUAUAGGAGUAGUAUAGUUUGAAACACUUUGCUUCUUCAGGAAUGGGUGUGCAAUGGUAAUAUCUUUUGGGCUGUGGACAAUGGACAGGACAUGGUGUACAGCAAGUUGGAGAUACUUGACAGCUUUCCUUUGCUUCCAUAGCUAGUGCAUGAUGUAAAAUGUGGCAAGAUGAUGUAAGCAAGAAAUAAAUGAACUGCAGUUCUUUUCUGAUUUGCUGCCGGUAAUGUGUCCAAGGUGGGUGGUUCUUCUCCUUUUCACUGAUGGAAUUGGAAAGAAUAAACUUUUUUGAGGAACAGUUCGAACAGAUAAAACUUUCUCAACUGAAUUUUCCUUGGCCCUAUUUGGAAUGGAUGUAAAUGUUGUGGGUGGGCAGUAAACUCGGCUACUCUCUUUUAAGAGAGGUCUGGUUUUUCCUUAGUAAACAAGGCUACUCUGUUCUUCUAAUAGAUUGACAGUGCUCCUGCUCUUUCUAAGUUUUCUUGAAGAAAAAUAAACGAUCUCUCAGUGAAGCUUGGAAAAGAAGAUGAUUUCUACAGAACAUCUACCAGAAGUAUCUCUUCUGAAUAUCCUGUACUAAAUACGCCAUCCGUUUCAUAAUUGUUGUCGAAAUAUUACAUGUAUCUAAACACUUUUUAGGAAUAGAUACAUGCAUAUUUGGGCAAAUUUGAGACAAGGAUUAUGAACGGAGGGAGUAGUAGAGUUUAAGUUUCCACCCGUGCAAUUAGGUAUAAGGACGUGUCGUCCUUUGUACCUUUGGCAUGUGAAAACAGAAUCAGAUCCUUUUGUCAGGGGUUAUCCAUUUCUAUAUUCCUCGUCACUCCGUUUCUGCUUUUUUGCUGAUCUUCUUAAUGGAUGCUUGAUGCUUCUGAAUUCUGAUAUCACCACGCAAGAAGCAUAUGCAUCCCAAAACUGCUGGAUAGCUCACCAACUAUUGAAAUCAUUACAUUGACCUGCUGAACUAACAAAAAUAGCUUGCAUGCUUCUAGAUAUUUCUAUACACGGUAGAUUGCCUGCACCAAUUGUCCACAGAAUUAUUCACCAGUAGCCACUAGAUUGCACGUAUGGAUGCAAGGGCCAUUACAGUUAUAUCUCCAACAGAAAUAAAUCACAAGAGAAAUGUGACCAUGAAAUUUUAUGACACAAAUUUAUCUAACAUCCUGGAAAAGGCUAUUGGGUUCUGGCCGGUUCCAAAAGGAGCGUUCACACAAGAUUACUUCGAAGAGCCGAACAUUGGACUUAGAUCCUGGACGGAUCUAACUGCUAUUCAGACUGUAGGUCAGAUCUAUGACAAGUUCUACAUGUAUACUAUCGAGUAGCUCGGCUCGUUAAGCUCGUUAUGCUUAACGAGCUAAAACUCAAGAUCGGUUCAGUUCGUGAAGAGCGCUCGUUAAAGCUUGUUAUGAGAUAACAUGUUAGCAGCCAUGAAUCAUAUUUUCAUAAGUUAAACAAGUAAAAAGUAGCAGCAAAGCAUUAUAUAUAAAUAUAAUCAUACUGCACAGUUAUAUUUCAACAGAAAAUGGGAUUUGGCAUGAAGCACAAAGAUCACACAUGCACACUGAGAGAACAGCAAGUUUAGCAAUUACCACAAGCAACAGUUUUGCUUGCACAAAUCAUAAACAGGAUAGGAGUUGAUUGGCAAUGAGAUGAGUACGAGCUAGCAAGGAGAUGAGGAGGUUAGGUCGGGUCAUAGUCGUGCUGUGCAGUCAAUUACUAGUCGCCGGGGGCCCAGGGGAUUAGACGGGCUGGAUGCUCUCAUGAAACUCAGUACUCUCGGCUUGUUAAGCUCGUUAGCUUUAUUGAGCUGAAAAUAAAACUCGGCUCGGUUCAUCUGCAAACGAACACGAGCUUAAACGAGCCAAGCUCACAAGCGCUCGUUAGGCUUGUCGUUGUGGAGGCCAAACUGGGCCACGACCCUCCCCCCCUCCAAAUUGCAAUUUUUCUUUUUACUAUGCAUGUUUACCGUGUAUUAGCACAGUCCAUAUAACUAUCACGCAUAAUUUAAAUCGGAAGUAGAUAUUCCAUCUGAUUCAUGGACCAAAUUGUGAGAAAAUGGUGGAAGGGUCUCUACCUAGUGGAACUGCAGUGGUCCAUUUUCGAAAAUGGUGGAAGGGUCUCUUUGGUUGUAUCGCUCGAUAUAACUUUGAGAUCAAUAAAAACUUCUAUUUAAAAUAAAAUAAAAGCUAGCGGAACGGCAGUGGUCUUGGGUUCGACUUCUCUAAGGCAUUGUUUGGUGUUACUGUAUUUUUUAUUCACUAGUGUUUUGGUAUUUGAGGGGUUUGGGUGUUCACCCAAAACCCUCAAAACACACACAAUUAUGAGAAGUGUUUUAAUUUGGUACAAAAAUUGAGUUUUUGUGAAGGGAAACUAAGGAUAAUCCCCUCUAAACCCUUCCUACCAAACAAACAUUUGGGGUUUCUAGUGUUUUUUUAAUUUGGAUUGGAUAAUACCGUAAAAAAUACCACAAAAACUCUAGGACCAAACAAAGCCUAAGGAUCAAAUUUUCAGACCGGGGUUAAAAUAAAUCCCCACGCUUGACCCAUACCAAAACACAAGUCUAAGGUCCGGUCCAAUCUCACACGGCCUGCCAUGCCGUCGGGAUUAACGUUUCUGGAUUUUCAGGACUUGCGUGAAAUUAAAGUUCUUCUUCUUAAUAGAAAAGCACGGGGCUUAUUUGCUCCCCAUGGGUCCGCGCCGUCCACCUCUCUUCAAUCAACAAGCUGCACAACCGGCCGCAAGAACAAGACUCAAUCGCAUUAACCAACAGAUCGAACAUGUUGUUGUGUUAGACCACGAGGUCAACUAUAACCACAAGGUUCUAUACUACAAAAAAAAUAGUUAUAUAUAUAUAAAAUUAAGAAUUGUCCUACAAAAAAAAUAGUUAUUAAGAAUUGUCCUAUAAUUCCUAACACCUCUGCUAAUUCAAAUAUAUUUUAAUAAAAAAAUUCUUGCAGUGUUUGUUUGAUAUGAAAUUAGCCCCCUCUUGGCUUUCCGUCACACUCCGCCAAUUGAGCUUUAUGUCCAUGCCCCUAAUGACAGAUGGAAAUGAUCCAGAUGUUAAUGCCGUUUUAGAACGUGAUGGGAAAUUCUGUUUCAUUGUAAGGUCAAGAUCUGAUACCCCUCCGUCCCAUAUUAGUUGUCGAAAUAUUACAUGUAUCUAGACGCUUUUUAGACAUAGAAACAUUCAUAUUUGGACAAAUUUGAGACAUCUAAUAUUGGACGGAGGAAGUACACACUUCUAUGACACAAGGGUACUUGUAUUACCAUGGGGCCAAUGUGCCAUGAACAAGAGUCAGGUUAUUCAUGGCACAUUGGAUAUGGACACGGCUUUUGAGAUGCAACUUUGACCAUUGUUUGCAUGUGUAUAUAUGUUACUCCCUCCAUUAUAUAAUUCUUGUCUCAAAUUUGUCCAAAAAUGAAUGUAUCUAUUCUAAAAAACAUCUAAAUACAUGUAAUAUUUCGACAAGAAUUAUGGGGUAGAAAACUAAAGAAACAUGAUUAUAAAAUAUUUUUCAUAACAAAUAUAAUUAACGAUCUUAUUUUUAUUUGAUCAACAAAAGACUAAUUUACACAUGCAACCGCUACUAGAAACUAGAGCUUUCCCUCCACGUUAACGUUAGUCAAAGUUAGAGAACUUUCACUCCAAGCAUUUUAAGCUUUUUAGGAUCAUAAAUUUUGGAAAAGAGGUACUAGUAAACCGUAAGGAUGAUUAUUCUACAGAUAAGUUCUUCUCUUACAUUUGUUCAAGCAAAAGUGUCUUAAUUAUAACGUCAUCUAUUUGAGGGCAAAGACAUAAUCAAUCCUAAGAUAAUCCAGAUUAAGUAUUUCAAAACCGGGAUAUUUGCAUCAUCAUUUCCAAGGAUAGCAAGCAGAUGAUAAACGAGUUACAUUUAUUCAAAAUAAAAAAGAAGAUACAAACAGCAGAUUUGGAUGUAUUUUUUUUUUCAGAUUUUAUUCCUCUUUGCGCUAUAGGUUCACAAAGACCAUAGUAUUAUAUUGAGGCGUCAUGUGCUUGCUUACCAUCUGUGGACCACUUGAGAAACACAUCCCAACGGCAAGCAGACAGGGAUUACAACAAACUCAUGAUAAACACCAUGACUAUACUAUGCCUUGUAUGAACAUAAAAUAUGUUGAAAUUGUUUUGAGGGCGAUUUCUGCUGCCCACGUGCCUGUUUAUCAGCUGUGUGGACAAUCAAAUUGAGAAACACUUUCCAACGACAAGCAUAUCAGGAUUACAACAACGAAUUCUCUUACAACAAACUAAUGACAAACACCAUGACUAUACUAUGCCAUGUGUGAACAUAGAAAAUAUUGAAAUUGGCUUUGAGGGCGAUUUUCUGCUGCCCAUGUGCUUGUUUAUCAUGGAACAUCAAAUUGAGAAACACUUCCUAACAACAAGCAUAUCAGGAUUACAACAAACUCAUGGCAAACACCAUGACUAUACUAUGCCUUGUUCAACAUAAAAAAUAUUGAAAUUGGUUUUGAAGGCAAUUUUCUGCUGCCCAUGUGCUUGUCUAUCAUCUGUGUGGACAAUCAAAUUGAGAAACACUUCCCAACGACAAGCAUAUCAGGAUUACAACAAACUCAUGAUAAACACCAUGACUAAACUAUGCCUUGUAUGAGCAUAAAGUAUAUUGAAAUUGGUUUGAUGGCGAUGGUCUGCUGCCCAUGUACAGCAAAUUCACUAUAUAAAGAUACAUAUGAAAUAUGCAUCCACCUAACAAUCCAGAUCAAGGCACAGAAUAAUCAUCUGAGAAUAUCAAUGCCAAAUGGAUUUGAUGCCUGUCUGCCACCCCAGGUUCCAGAAAAUUGUUUGAAGUGACGACUUUCUAAUAAGAAUUGAACCAUAAUUUGUGCGGUUCAUGGCCAUUUUGAAUUUUGAUCACUUGAUCAGUCAGUGUGAUGAGAAAGUAUUGAACAAUCCAUAGCCAGCAAAAACCAGACCAAAUAUAAGGAAGCCAUAGUCCAGCACCCUUCGGCACAGGCUCAUUGAGGAGCCCACGAUAAUGAGAUGGAAGAUGGUAGGCAGCACAAACGAGAGCAGAGCACACACUGUACUCCCAACAAAGGAUACAUAUGACCCAAAUGCAGGAAUGAAUGAUGCCACAACAGCCAGGAUAGCCACCAUGACAAUACGGCUCGAGUGCAAGCCUAACCAUUCGGCACCAUGAACAUUGUGGGAAAGCUUCUGGAACCAUCCGCUUGAUCUGAACCUUGUCUCAAUGAUCUCGUGGAUCGGGUGCAUCAUAACUGGGAAUGUGAAUGCCAGUGCAAUGCAUAGGCCAACCUGUCAAAAUAAUUUUCAAACUAUUAGGGCUUAGGAUACAAAGAUCAAUAAUCUGGCAAGUUAUAUCUUGACAACAAAUUACUCAUUUUUUUAAUUUCACAAUAACAGAGAUUCACACUUAAAAUAUACUGCAAUUAAGUAAUUGUCAAAUAUUUGGGCUGUGAAGUGCAUUUUUUUUCUUUGAAGCAACAGCAUGUUUCAACAGACAAUCACACAAAAUAAUUAUGGAAACUACACUAACCUUAACAGCUGCAGAGGACCAAUUAUUUGGAAGAUUAAGUGUUAUGAUGUCCUUGGUAGCCUCACCAUAUGCCAAGUAUCCACAUACUCCAAAACAUGCAUACACAACUAUGAUGCCCAUAACUGCUUGAGAAAGUACCAAACGGAACUUUCUCCGUUCCGCCAUUGAUGAUUCUAGUGCCAAUGUCAUGCUAAAUCCUUCAAAGCAGAAGGCAGCAACUCCAAAUGUGAAAGGUAUAGCCCAAACCCCAUUAAAAGUGUUUCUAUUUGCAAAGGGAUGAUCAAUAAGUUGAAGGUCCUUUCUGAUAACCAUUGCCAUCGCUAAGACAUUGCAUAUAUCUGCAAAUAUACUGAAUGGUGAAAGAGUAGACAGUGAACGAAUGAAGGAUAAGGCGAUCUGCACGGGCAGGAGGAUGGCAAAGAUGAAGCCAGCUGGUGACAUCGACUGGCCAAAAAUGGAAUGGAGAUUUUCACCAAUAAAUACUAGGUAAGCUACAGAACCACCCGCUUGAGAAACAAGGAUGAAGAUUUCCGUCAAGGAUCGACCUAUAGUCCCAAAGCACUUCUCACCCAAAUCCCCAUAUGUAUAGUGGACAUGGCAGGGUUCUUCAGUUUCUUCCUCUGCCAAUUUAUCUCUACAGUCCACCUUCAGAGCAAAAUGGAUACCAACUAAAUCAAACAGCUGAAAAGUAAUGGUGAUCUCAAAACUAAAGUUGCAGGUUAUAGAGUAAUAGAUACCUGAAGUACUUAGAAAACUCAGUUAUCUCUACAGUCCACCUAACAAUAUCAUGUUCAACCUAGCUCCAGAAAUAAAAGAUCAUGUUUAUACUUUAUACCAAGAAUGGGCUAACACCAUAGACCUGGCCUAUGAUACUAUUAUGGGAAUUGUUUGGGUUUCAGGCUUUUGGUUUCAGGGUCUAAUUCUAGCAGUAAUUGGGUAAAAUAUUGAUUUCAUCACCGAGUUACUGGAAAUCAUUCCUGUUGACUGUUGUAUUGGAGGCAUUGUAGGAUAGUAAUUUAAGUGGGAAAUAUAGAGAUGAAAAAAACUUUUGCAGUUUUUUUUUUGAGGAAAAACUUUUACAGUUUGGGGACAGGAUAAUCCCAGCUUAAAAACCCUGUAGUAUUCCUAAACAAGAGGGAUGAAAAUUCUUAUCCUGACUCCCGAGUGACCAAAUACUAACCGUGUCUCCACUCUCUACCAUAACUUGUAGCCUUUGACUGAUCACAAUAUUUCGGGAGUAUAGCUAUACGAUUAAUCUUCCACCUACAUUAAUUCUUGUCGAAAACUAAACACGAACACCAACCACUUUUCAUCCACACUCCACAGCACUACCUAAUCUGUAUAAGUUGAAUACAAUGCAAAGCUGUAGCAUAGCAAUUUCCAAAAUCCGGAUGGCUUCCGGUUAAGCAACUAAACAAGCGAAGGUGUAGUGUUAAUGCGGGGUAGGUGGUGUGAGGAGGUACUGACGAGGAGGAGCAUGCAGUAGAGCGUGGCGCAGCCGGCGGCAGCGACGCCGAGGGAUCCCGCGACCCAGCCGGCGGCGCUGAAGGCGUAGGGGAGGCCGAGCACACCCGUGCCGACGAUUGACACCACCACGUUGCCCAGCGUCUGCGCACACGUCGCUCCUCCGCGCCCAUGGGCCUUCCCAUCCUCCCGCGGCAGAAGCGGCGCUGCCGCCCCUCCCGUCUCUCCCAUCCCCAGCAACAACCGUGCCGGCGGCGGCGGCGGAGACUAGAGACUAGAGACUAGAGAGGCAACGGAGCUUCGCGAAGCGAAAUUGGUUUUGGGAAUCGUGUUUGGCGCACGAGGGAGUGAGACGGGGAAUGUUUAUAUAUUUGAGAGGGGGCGAGAAGGCGAAGCCGCCGGCGGCCGGAGAGGAGUCGCUGUGCUUUGCUGGAUGGACGAAGAUUGGGGGUGGGUGUCACGUGGGAUCUUUUUCUGGAUCUCUGUCCUACUCGUCGGAUAGACGUGAAAUUCCAAGACCACUAUCGUGUAUCGUAGUUAUGUAAGGUCAUCACUUAGUCUCCUUCUCUAUCAUUUUAGAUUUUUAGUCAAGAAACGCGAGACUAUUUUACAAAAAAUAAGCGUUUCCACCAACUCCAAUACUUAUCAGCGUGCUCCACCGUUCAUAUUUGCGUUGAGAUCUUUGUUUUUUAUUUACUAACAACGUGAUGCUCAUGCAUUGCUAGGUAUUAGAAAAAUUCAUCACAUGAAUCAUGUACUACAUUAUUUUAGACCAAAUAAUAGAUAUUUAUUCUCGUCCAAAUGAUUUAUAUGAAUCUCCUGUUUGUAAUUUUUAUUAUUUUCAGAGCUCUUUAUAUUAAUGUUGAUGAUUAUCGAUAGAUCGGCGGUCCUGUCAAAAAAAAAGAGCCCCAAGGUCAUGAGCCGCUGCCAUUUCCUUUUUACGCAGUGGGCUCUCCCCGCCGAUUUCAAUUAGAGAAACCGCAAGUUCAGUACAAACGAAAGAAAAAGAACAGAAAAUAAUAGAAGACAGUCAGCGCCCCCUAAUCUUCUUCAGUGUCUUGGUGGGGGUUUUCCCCAAGCCCCCGCGUCGCCUAACCUAGGGCGGCUCGGGCGGCGCCCCCAAGCCGCCGGCUCCUCCCCUCCCAUCUCUUGCUCCUCUCCUCGCCGCCACCGGCGGUCAGCGCCGGGCAAAGCCCGUGCGUUUACGGCGGCGGCGGGGCUCGUCUAGCGACGGCUGGAGCAUUCGUGCUCUGUUUCGGGCGGCGCCGCAAGUUUCUCGGCACGGAUUUGCGAGGCAGCAGUGGCGGCGCGAGGGCCGCGAGGGCGCGGAGGCGACGCCAAAGUGGCGAGUCGUCGCGGCGGCGGUGGCCUUGUGGGCGGGCGCUUGGGUCCGGGGUCGUGCGCGGGCCAGAUCUGGCUUGCUUGUGGUUGGGCUCCGGUGCGGCAGUGCGGGGCGGGCGGGCUUGGUGGAUGCGGCGGCGGGCAUCGGGGCGGCUCUUCUCGUCGAGGCCUGCUUGAUGUCCGUGGGCUUUCGGCGUGCCUGGAGGCGGUGCAGUGGCGCGAGGUGGCUGCGGCCCCGGCUGUGCGAGGCUGCGGAGGCUCUCCUUGCUGCGACGGUGACGACCUGGAUUUGCUUCGGGUGGAGCUGUGAUGGAGAGGUGCAGAGGUGUUUGUGCCUUUGCCGGCGAGGUGGCUGUUGGCUUCGUGUGGAGCCAUGCUGGGGAGGUGCUGAGGUGCCCUUGUUGUUGCUCGGACCGGAUAUGGGUCUGAGUGGGCGGAGUCGCCAUUGUGGCGUGUGCUUCUGCCAUGUCGCGGCGCGGUCGGAGCUGUAGUGUUGUGUAGCCUCUUCUGUGUCUUGUUGUGGUGAAGUCGCCCGGUAUGAAGGAUUGUGUCGACGACGGACGAGCUGGGUGUCUCUUGCAGCAUGGUGGCGAAGGUGCUUGGCCUUGGCGUUGGUGUGUGAAGCUGACUGUUUGGCAUAGGCCAACGUGGGAUCCAUGCAACUAUUGCGGCCAGGGCUUUGUUGGGGAUCAUUUGCGGUGAAGUCGGAGCCUCCAGCUCGAGGAGUGAUGUGUGAUGACGAUGACAUCUUUCUCGACGAUGGUCUUCGCCGAGUGCGUUUGGUAGUCAGGUCGGUUUGUGGUGUCCUAAGUGUUGUCAUUUGCGACAGCAUCUAGGACUGUUGUAACGGUUUUUGUCUGGUUUUCCGUUAAUAAACUGGGCAUCGAAACUUCUUCUUUAUUGAUGAGAUGAGCUUUUGCCUCUGUUUCGAAAAAAAAAACAGUCAGCGCCCCUUACAGCGUAGCAGAGUAAUGCAACGCAAAUAGAUCAGGACAGAGUAAUGCAACGCAAAUAGAUCAGGACGAACAUGUCCCAAACAGGUGGACAGCCAAGAUAAAACAGAAGGCAACUAAACUCAGGUCAGUCUUUUCAUAGUCGGCGCCCAACCAAAACUCCGCCAGAAAGCUUCAAAAUCACCACCUUAAAGCAUC
RNAcentral lists this long non-coding RNA (80504 nucleotides) under Brachypodium distachyon (stiff brome). RNAcentral describes it as "long non-coding RNA (BDIS_LNC001048)". The stretch from base 47413 to 47547 matches the Rfam family "MIR1120/MIR1122 microRNA precursor family". The record is from RNAcentral. Lineage: Eukaryota; Viridiplantae; Streptophyta; Magnoliopsida; Poales; Poaceae.